This 47405-nucleotide long non-coding RNA is filed under the name Triticum aestivum (bread wheat). Its description in RNAcentral is "long non-coding RNA (TAES_LNC015028)". The record is from RNAcentral. Lineage: Eukaryota; Viridiplantae; Streptophyta; Magnoliopsida; Poales; Poaceae.
AUGGAAUCCAGGGUAGUUCUGUGCGUUCUUUGCAAAGCAUCCGUUCUAAUCGUUUGCAAGGAUCUGGCGGUAGUAUCGUGUCUGUGUUUGGUCCACCUAUCGUAAGUGUCUGCUCAAUGCUCACUAUGAUGGUGUAAGAAUCAUCCAUCUUUAUGGUAUGGUCUCGUAUCUUAUUUGCUACUGGUGAUUCCUGUGCUAUCAUUCUGAUGUUAUUAUGAAUGCCUUUUAAAACGAGUAUAGUGAUCAGUACAAGAGCUCCCCUGCUUUCCUUUUUCACUACUCCUAGAUUUGAUCAACAGAUAGACAGAUUGUGUAUGGAUGAAGCUCAGAAAGAUCUUGCUUCGUUUCCACCUGAGCAACUCAUGAAAACUAAUUCAAUCUUGAAAAAACAAGCAGCGAGCGUCUACACCAGGGCUGCUUCUGAAAUAUUCCAAACGGAGUUGAUUGAGUCGCUGUUUUUUUUUUUGAGAGUACGCCAAUAACGUACCAUAUCUUUAUAGAAGACAGAGUUAAUAUUUACAAGAGCCUAGUGUAGAUGGGAACAUCUGCGAAGGCACACCCACUCCACACAAAAAACAAGAUCACUCUCGCUGUUAAGGUUCAGGACAUCCCUUGUGAAGCCAAGUACUAUGUCAAAAGAGGUGGUGAUCCUCCUACCAGGCACACUGUUGCCUGCAAUGUUGCCGAGAAGAAGGCUUUGGUGUGACUGCUGCAGGUUUGCUUUCUCGGCGAUAUUAUGCAGACAUGUGCUGGGAGUAUUCAUCUUAGCUCACAUCGACAAGCAAUGGACGAAGAAGGCAAAUGCAGGGCCAGUGUUUGUUAGACACAUCCUUGAAGAUGAAAACCGGCACGCAGAUUCUGUGACUUGGAGGUCCAAUGAUCUCGUUGGUGGUGACCCGGUGAGGCGUGGAGAGAAGGGAGCUCUAUCAGCAGGCUCCUUCAAAUUUGCAGAAGAAGCUAGUACCGCACUAAGCCUAUAGAGAAAUAGAUAAACUGACCAAGGCUAGUGCCGGACAAGGCUGUCGCGGCCCACCGGGGCUCUACUGCUGCUGGAGGGACGGCGACAGCGGUGCGGCCGGGCAAGGUGGCCAGUGGACACGCGUAUGAGGUGGCCGUCUGGUAUAAACUAUAGCUUUUUUUGGUUUGUAGUUAAACGACCGGAAUAUCGGUCAUAUAUGUAAAUCCGACGGGUUUACUUACACUUGUCUGGUUAUUUUAAACCUUGUUUGAAAUAUAUAUGGAUAGCUUUGAAUGACCGGCUCCCACAUCAGUGUUCGCGGACUAGUACUCUCUAUCCGUGAACAACGGAUGCGAUGUCCGGUUUACAGGUCAGUGUGGAGAUGCCCUUAGGCUGCAGUGCAAUUGUGCAAAGAACAAAUCGACUGAAACCUGUUUGUGUGAGUCGACUGACCCAAAAAUUAAAACCAGUCAACUUGCACGUAUUGAUCCCAUACUAGCAUUACUCCUAGUAUAUUUUAGGGCUCGGCCUAGCUACCUCUCACCGCGUCUCAAGGGGCCAAGAAGAAGAAGAAACUUUCAAAGCAGCCCUCACCCCACGCAUGCAUAUGUGCCAUUCUUAGCUUGCUCUUAAUUAAUCUGAACCUCUUCUUCUUGCUACCACCGCGAGAAAGCAGCUGAGGCGCUCCCUUUCUCCUUUAAAUUUGGACCUUAAUUUCCAGCUCCUGCGUCCCAUUCUCCAAACGCCCAGCACCUCAUACUCUUCGUUGCUUUCCUAACUUUGGUUCACUCUCGGGAGAAGCUAAUUAACCAUCACCUCAUACUCCGCCGAUGCCUCCUUCGCCUCUUGCCGUCCGCGAAGAACCAUGAACUACACCGGGAGCGCCCUCUCCCUCCUCGUCCCCAAAGCCACCAAGGACAUGUCCCGCCUGCACCAAGGCUACGACCGUGGCUAGCUCCGGCUAGCUACUAGUACUUGCAGUAUACCUUUUCUGUUUAGAUCCUUCCCCGUUGUCAGUUGAUAGUUUCUCACACCGAUCAGCCAUGAAGGAGGUGGGUCAGAAGAAGAACAUCCUGGCCAAGACGCUCCAGAAGUGCCGGUCGUUGGGCCACCGGAGGCAGCCGGCAGCCUACGGCGGUGGCGGCAGCGCCAGUGCCCCGGCGUCGCCACGCGCGGCCGAUGGCAGGGCGGCGGCGUGGGCCGUGCCGGCGGGGUACUUCGCCGUGCUCGUGGGGCCGGAGAAGGAGCGGUUCGCGGUGCGCGCCAGGUGCGCGAACCACCCCCUGUUCCGGGCGCUGCUGGACGAGGCCGAGACGGAGUACGGCUUCGCCGGCUGCGCCGGCCCGCUCGAGCUGCCCUGCGCCGUCGAUGAUUUCAUGGAGGUGAUGUGGGAGAUGGAGCAGGGGGGCGGCGUCGCGUCGUCGCCCAGCUGCGCUCGCUUCGCCGGCAGGGGCCACCACCAACAACAACAGCGCCACGGGUACCACAUGUUGAGUCCGGGCACGUUCCGGUUCCUCGUCGCCGGCCGAUCGUGAUCACCAUGCACGUGCUUGCUCUUCGCCAACGACGGUCUAAGUCCAUCGUUGUAAUCUUCCUUUUCUUCCUCUUUUUCUUUACGUGUAGGUUGUUGAUGUCGAAUGCAUGUAGAAGUUAAUUCUUCAUCGCCUGUUUGAUGGACUGCUAGCUUAGGGUGUUGAUGUGAUAAUUUCAUAAGUUGCCAACGUUUCUUGGUCCAUCAGUUAGUGUGCAUUUCGCGUGUUCUUCAUGUGAAUAUAUGUAUAUGGUGCUCAUUGUAAAUGUAAACUAUGGACAGAAGAUGCUUCCUUUUGUUUUUGUAGAAGGACAAGUUAUGGCCUGUGCAAUCUCGAUGUAUUGAUUGGUGCACCAGGCACAUAUAUAUAAGUACAGAGGUGGGCCACAACCUCAACUAUACAAAGGAAACAGGAGGUGGGNNNNNNNNNNNNNNNNNNNNNNNNNNNNNNNNNNNNNNNNNNNNNNNNNNNNNNNNNNNNNNNNNNNNNNNNNNNNNNNNNNNNNNNNNNNNNNNNNNNNNNNNNNNNNNNNNNNNNNNNNNNNNNNNNNNNNNNNNNNNNNNNNNNNNNNNNNNNNNNNNNNNNNNNNNNNNNNNNNNNNNNNNNNNNNNNNNNNNNNNNNNNNNNNNNNNNNNNNNNNNNNNNNNNNNNNNNNNNNNGGAACUCCUCGAAGGUAGAAGUCGGCAGUCCCUUCGUCAUCACAUCGGUGAACUGUUGGGCAGUCGGCACAUGGAGAACCCGAAUACGUCCAAGAGCCACCUGCUCGCGCACAAAGUGAAUGUCCAGUUCAAUGUGUUUAGUCCGGCGAUGAUGAACGGGGUUGGCGAAGAAGUACACCGCAGAAACGUUGUCACAGUAGACAACCGUAGCCUGGGAGACGUCAUGAUGCAGCUCCUGAAGUAACUGUCGUAGCCAGGUGCACUCGCAACAGCGUUGGCCACAGUUCGGUACUCAGCCUCCGCGCUGGAGCGCGAAACCGUGGGUUGUCGCUUGGACGACCACGAGACGAAUGAAGGACCGAGGUAGACGCAGUAGCCGGAGGUGGACCGACGAGUAUUGGGGCAACCAGCCCAGUCUGCAUCGGAGUAGGCCACCAUCUCCAGAUAAGUAGACGCCGUGAGUGUCAAUCCAAGGGUCAUCGUGCCGCGGAUGUAACGAAGGAUCCGCUUCACGAGAGUCCAAUGGGAGUCACGAGGGGCGUGCAUGUGGAGACACACCUGCUGAACAGUAUACUGAAGAUCCGGUCUGGUGAGAGUCAAGUACUGAAGAGCGCCGACGAUAGACCGGUAGAAAGGAGCAUCCGACGCAGGCGAGCCCUCAAGAGCAGAAACCUUGGCCUUCGUGUCAACAGGAGUAGCAAUAGGGUGACAAUUGAGCAUGCCAGCACGCUCAAGAAGCUCAUGUGCAUACUUCUGCUGAUGAAGAAAGAAACCAUCCGGGCGCCGAACGACCUUAAUGCCAAGGAAAUAAUGUAGAGCACCCAAGUCCUUAAUGGCAAACUCGUCACGCAGCCGGAGAGUAAUCUGCUGAAGAAGAGCUGCGGAGGAGGCCGUCAAGAUGAUGUCAUCGACAUAAAGAAGCAAGUACGCAGUCGUGUCACCGUGGCGAUAAACAAACAAUGAGGCGUCCGAGCGAGUAACGCUGAAGCCCAGUGUCUGAAGAAACCCGGCGAUCCGCUGGUACCAGGCGCGGGGUGCUUGCUUGAGCUCGUAAAGAGAGCGGGACAACAGACACACAUGUCUAGGAAGUGAGGCAUCGACAAAACCGGUGGGUUGCUCACAAUACACCUGCUCCUCAAGAUGGCCGUGGAGAAAGGCGUUGGAGACAUCCAUCUGGUGAACGGGCCAGCCGCGGGAGACGGUGAAGGAAAUAUGCCCUAGAGGCAAUAAUAAAGUUAUUAUUUAUUUCCUUAUAUCAUGAUAAAUGUUUAUUAUUCAUGCUAGAAUUGUAUUAACCGGAAACAUAAUACAUGUGUGAAUACAUAGACAAAUAGAGUGUCACUAGUAUGCCUCUACUUGACUAGCUCGUUAAUCGAAGAUGGUUAUGUUUCCUAACCAUGAACAAAAGAGAUGUUAUUUGAUUAGCGGGAUCACAUCAUUAGAAGAAUGAUGUGAUUGACAUGACCCAUUCCAUUAGCUUAGCACCCGAUCGUUUAGUAUAUUGCUAUUGCUUUCUUCAUGACUUAUACAUGUUCCUAUGACUAUGAGAUUAUGCAACUCCCGUUUGCCGGAGGAACACUUUAUGUGCUACCAAACGUCACAACAUAACUGGGUGAUUAUAAAGGAGCUCUACAGGUGUCUCCAAAGGUACAUGUUGGGUUGACGUAUUUCGAGAUUAGGAUUUGUCACUCCGAUUAUCGGAGAGGUAUCUCUGGGCCCUCUCGGUAAUGCACAUCACUUAACCCUUGCAAGCAUUGCAACUAAUGAGUUAGUUGCGGGAUGAUGUAUUACAGAAUGAGUAAAGAGACUUGCCAGUAACGAGAUUGAACUAGGUAUUGAGAUACCGACGAUCGAGUCUCGGGCAAGUAACAUACCGAUGCAAAGGGAACAACAUAUGUUGUUAUGCGGUCUGACCGAUAAAGAUCUUCGUAGAAUAUGUAGGAGCCAAUAUGAGGAUCCAGGUUCCGCUAUUGGUUAUUGACCGGAGACGUGUCUCGGUCAUGUCUACAUUGUUCUCGAACCCGUAGGGUCCGCACGCUUAAGGUUUCGAUGAUAGUUAUAUUAUGAGUUUUGAUGUACCGAAGUUAGUUCGGAGUCCCGGAUGUGAUCACGGACAUGACGAGGAGUCUCGAAAUGGUCGAGACAUAAAGAUUGAUAUAUUGGAUGGCUAUAUUCGGACACCGAAAGUGUUCUGGGUGAUUUCGGAGAAAAUCGGAGAGCCGGAGGGUUACCGGAACCCCCCCGGGAGAAGUAAUGGGCCAUAUGGGCCUUAGUGGAGAGAGAGAGGGGCUGCCAGAGGUGGGCUGCGCGCCUCCUCCCCCUGGUCCGAAUUGGACUAGGAGAGGGGGGCGGCGCCCCCCCUUUUCCCUCUCCCUCCCCACUUCUUUCCCCCUCCUAGUAGGAGACCUACUCCUACUAGGAGGAGGACUCCUCCUUGGCGCGCCAUAGAGGGCCGGCCGGCCUCCUCCCCUGGAUCCUUUAUAUACGGGGGUAGAGGGCACCCCUAGACACACAAGUUGAUCCACGUGAUCAUAUUCUUAGCCGUGUGCGGUACCCCCUUCCACCAUAGUCCUCGAUAAUAUUGUAGCGGUGCUUAGGUGAAGCCCUGCGACGGUAGUACAUCAAGAUCGUCACCACGCCGUCGUGCUGACGGAACUCUUCCCCGACACUUUGCUGGAUCGGAGUCCGGGGAUCGUCAUCGAGCUGAACGUGUGCUAGAACUCGGAGGUGCCGUGGAGACGUACGACUACAUCAACCAAACGCUUUCGUUGUCGAUCUACAAGGGUACGUAGAUCACACUCUCCCCUCUCGUUGCUAUGCAUCACCAUGAUCUUGCGUGUGCGUAGGAAUUUUUUUGAAAUUACUAUGUUCCCCAACAGACGGCGAGCUGGAGGACGAUGCGGAUCGUGCCCGGUUUUACAACCGGGGCAAACGUCUCAGUGAAGUCCACUCCAGCACGCUGGCGGAAACCACGGACCACCCAGCAAGCCUUGUAGCGCUCGAGAGUAUCGUCCGAGCGGGUCUUGUGGCGAAAGACCCACUUGCCGGUGAUGACGUUGGCGCGAGAAGGCCGGGGAACCAGUGUCCAGGUGCGGUUCCGUUGAAGAGCAUCAAACUCCUCCUGCAUCGCCGCAAGCCAGUGAGGAUCACGUAGGGCGGCGCAAGCGGACGCUGGAAGAGGCGACGGCUCCGCGAUGGAGGCUGAGAGGACAUACUCGUCGCUCGAGUACCGGAGGCUCGGAUGAUGAACGUCGGUACGAGCCCGUGUAACGGGGCCAGGCGGCGCCGUCGGAGCCAUCGGCGAGGCAGCCGGAGAGGCGGCCGACGAGGCGGCCGGCGUCGGAGCCGGCGAGGAGGCCGACGUCAGGGCCGGCGAGGCCGGCUGCGUCAGAGCCGGCGUCAGGACCGGCGAGGUGGCCGGCGUCGUGGCGGCCGAGCCAGCGGCGCCCGACCCCGCGGCGCCCGAGUCGGGGGCGGCGGGUGAAGGAGGGGCGCCAGCCGCGCCGGCAGGGUCGGUCGAGGAGGCCGAGGGAGCGGGUGCCGGUGUGAGGGUGCGAGGACCGCCAAAGCCCGGAGGCGGUCCACGGGCCAAACGAGACCGUCCACCUGACGAGGUCGUCGAAGGGCUGCCGGUGGCCGGCGGUGACGAAGCGACAAGAGGUACCUGCUGCUGAAACAGAAACACCAUCUCAUCAAAGUAAACGUGUCGGGAGGUGAAAACACGAUGGGAGACGGGAUCAUAGCAGCGGUAGCCCUUAGUGUUAGGUAGGUAGCCGAGAAAGAUGCGGGCGACGGAGCGGGGUGCAAGCUUAUGAGGCGCAGUAGCGGCGAUGCUAGGGUAGCAAAGGGCAGCCGAAGAUGCGAAGCCCAUCAUAAGAGGGGGGUGCACCAAGUAGAAGAUGAUGAGGUGUAAAGUUUCCGCGAGUACGACAUGGGCGGAUGUUGAUGAGGAGAGAAGCGGUGGCGAGAGCGUCAGGCCAAAAGCGUGGAGGCACGUUGGCAUGAAAGAGAAGAGUCCUAACGCAGUCAUUGAGAGUGCGAAGGAUGCGCUCAGCGCGACCGUUCUGCUGCGAGGUGUACGGGCAAGUGAGAUGAAAAAUCGUGCCAUGUGUGGUGAGAAGAUGACGAACAACGAGGUUGUCAAACUCCUUCCCGUUGUCUGUCUGUAACGCGAGAAUGGGACGACUAAACUGCGUGAGAACAUAGGAGUAGAAGGCGGCGAGUGUGGAUAUAACAUCUGACUUGCGACACAAUGGGAAGGUCCACACAUAAUGCGAAAAAUCAUCAAGUAUGACAAGAUAAUAAAGAAAGACCGUAUUACUUGCAACAGGAGAGGUCCAAACAUCACUAUGAAUUAACUCAAACGGGUACGAUGCAACAAAAGAAGAAGCCCUAAACGGAAGACGAGCAUGUUUGCCGAGGCGGCAUGCAUGACACGAGUGAUCCUCGUUCUUAUUACACGUGAAAGAAAAACUCCAAAGUAUGUGGCAAAGGGUGGUAGGAUUAGGAUGACCCAAGCGAGCAUGCCAAAGGUCCACUCCGGUGGCGAGGGCGACAGGGGCGGCGGAAGUGGUGGAGGUGGCGGAGUGAACCGGGUAGAGCUCGUCGGGGCUGUCACAUCGAUGGAGCACCAUCCGCGUGCGAGCAUCCUUAACAGAAAAGCCAUAUUUGUCAAAUUCAACGGUAACCGGAUUUUCACGUGUAAGAGAACGAACGGAAACAAGAUUUUUAAUAAGUUCAGGAGAAACUAGAAUAUUAGACAUGGAUAUUGGAGUGGAUUUAGACGGAAAAUAUGUAUGACCAAUAUGGGUGAUAGGAAGAGAAGAUCCGUCACCGACGGUGAUGCGGUUGGAAGUGUGGACAGGAUGGGCGGCGUGGAGGUUACCGGGGUACGCCGCCAUGUGAGCGGUGGUGCCACUGUCCAUGUACCAAUCGCCGCCGCCGGUGUAGCUGGACGGGGAAGGAGUGUUGUGGAGAGCCGCCAGAAGAGCCGGGUCCCACGGUGCCGGCGGGAGAGGCGGCGCGGCCGUCAGGGGCAGCAGCGGCGGCCCACUUGCCAGCGGCUGCUGGCCGUAGGGCGCCGCGUAGGGCGGCGACGCGGUGUAGAACGCCUGGUGUGGCUGUGGCCGGGCGCCGAGAAGUCCCGGGGCAGGGGCCCGAGGAAUCGGCAUGGAGUAGGCGUGCACAACGCCGAUCCACGGGUUCUGGCCGGCGUACCACGGGGCCGGCUGAUAAGCCUGUUGCGGUGGGCGGGGUGCUCCUCCCUGAGCGCCGGCGCCCCCCUGCUUACGGCCACCACGAUGGCCGCCGCGACGACCCCCCCCAUUGGCCGCCGGCUGGGGCGGCGGGAAGGGGGCGGCCGGGGCGGGCGGGAAGCCUGGCGGGAAGGCGGGCGCCGCCGGCUGUGGCGGCGUCAGGCGCGGCGGUGGNNNNNNNNNNUCGCGCGAGUCUGCGCCACCCGCAUCCGGCGCUCCUUCAACUUGAGGUACGCGACCACCUUAGCAAAGGUGGGCUUCGGGAUGAGGGUGAGGUUGGAGGCGGCGUUCCCGAAGUCCUCGUUGAGGCCGCCGGAGAGGGUGCUGAUGAGGAGCUCGUCACCGAUCUUUUCCCCGAGAUCACGGAGCUCGUCGGCGAGCUUCUUGAGGCGCAUGCAAAAAUCAUCGAUGAAGGAGUCAAGUUGCUGGCACCCGUAAAACUCAUCGUAGAGCAGGACCUUGCGCUGCAGCCGGUUGUCGGUGAAGAGGCCGUUGAGCUUGCUCCAGACCGCAUAGGCGUCGUCCUCGUCAUCCACCACGGUGUGGAAGAGGUCGCUGGAGAUGGUGAGGUAGAACCAGCGGAUGAUGGUGGCGUCGAGGAUCAUCCACUCCUCGUCGUUGAUCAUGAGUGCCGAGUCCACGGUGCUAUCCACGUGGCCGUGUAGGAGGUACUCACGGAACACAAGCAAAAAAUACCGCUUCCAGGCGAAGGAGGACGCGGUGGUGUGAUCAAGCUUGACUGGAACGCGCUCAUGGAUGUUGAGGUCGCGGACGAGGGUGACAUCGGGACCGGCAAACGGGUUGGAUACGGUGGACGAGGAGGAGCUCAUGGCGAGGGUUAGGGUUUGGGACUCGGCGCGAGCGGAUGGAGGCGGGGUGGUGCGGGUUGCGGUGCGACUGGGAGGUGCGGCGGCGCAAGGGGCAGGGAAGGGUGCGGCGCGGGUGGGAGGAAGGGGUGCGGGCGUGGGCGGAAGCGGAGCAAGCGGCGGCGCGGCCUUGGGGAGAGGCGGCGGCAACGGCGGGCUCGGUGGCGGGGAGAGGCGGCGGCGACCAGCGGCGGCGGCGGCAACCGGGAGGGUGGUAGCGGUGGCUGGUGGCGGCGGCGGGGAGUAGCGGCGACGGCAGCGGCGGCUUUAGGGUUUAGGAUCGUGCUGCGAUAGAUACCAUGUAGAAGGACAAGUUAUGGGCUGUGCAAUCUCGAUGUAUUGAUCGGUGCAUCAGACACGUAUAUAUAAGUACAAAGAUGGACCACAAUCUCAACUAUACAAAAGAAACAGAAGGUGAGCCUUACACACAAAUAUACACGUACACAAUAUACUCAACAGUUAUGGACGAAGUGGAGACGAGAUCCACCUAAGAGCACUAUCCGGAACAAUGAUCAAAGUCUUUUGCCGGGCAACGGUUUUGUGAACCUGCUAUAGGCUAAGGUCUAAACUAUUCUCCCAAGUCCAAAACGAUCCAACUCUUUGAGUCACUUGCGCCCACAAGCAGCACUAGAAAAAACAUUCAUCGACAACUCAAAGCGCGACGCCAAGGCUAAUCUAAGCGCCAUUUAAGAAAAAGGGUUAAUCUAAACGCAAGUUGAUUACUACCUGAUGACCAGAUAACCACCCCUCGUGGCAACUGAGCUGAGCUUCGUCAGGCUCGGAUUUUUCUGACCUGCCACUUGCAGUCCAGCAUGUGUCGUGAUCCCGAACCUGUGAUGUCAACACACACAAUUAUUGUCAUUAUAGUAAAACUACACAAUAUAGAAAUAUGAACAUGACAUAGGCUACCGUCCCAAAAUAGAGAAAUAUCAUCAUCUCACCACUAGCAAACCAUAUCGUCACAUAUGGAAAGGAAAUUUGACAAAGCUUCCAUAAAAUGAGAAAUAAAUCAUAUUCUUAUUUUCUCGCACACACUUCUUUUAGAAAAGGAGGAUCACCCCUGGCCUUUGCAUCAGAGUGAUGCAUGCAGCCCCACUCUCGCACACACUUAGGGGGGUCUCUCAUGAUCAAUAGUUGUUGCAUGGCUUGUCUUAUUGAUUACAUCCUUUGCCAUGCUCUAACCAUACUGUCAUCAAUACACCUAAAAUGGGUAGAUUGAAAGUGCAUCUGACACUUAAUUAUAUUUUGAUGUGAUGACAAUAUGAUCAGUAGAACUAAUAACCGAUUCUAAAGUUUACCUCGGGUUAUUGAUUCCCUGGAAGUUUCAUGUGGAGAUGAUUGCCCCGCCCCCACCCCAUAUUUUGAAAAGAUCAAAGGCGUGGUUUUCCGACGGCUCGAUGGUUUUCGUUUUGGUUCGAUUUGAUUUGUAGGACAACCGCACUAUUAAGAGGGGUCAUUGUGGAUUGGUUUUGUGUUCGUACAUUCUAAAACAUAUACACCAAUCUUCUUACACCUACCACUUUAAAUUACCUUGUUUGUGCUUUUGUGGAGGUAUCCGUGGAGAUGAAAUAGAAAGUUUUUGGACACCAUGUGUGUUCGGAAACGUAGUAGAAAAAAAAUCGCACCUACGAUCACCCAAGAUCAAUAUGAGGAUGCAUAACGGGUUGGGAUCACGACCGUUACCGUCACCGAGUUGUAGCGGAAAAAGAACGUGUCGGUGUAGAUCGUAUUUGGAGUCCCUCGAACCGUCGAUGAACGAUCCCUCGUACCGCCCACGAACAGUCCCUUGAACUGAAGACCGAAAGCACGACCUCUCUACUUGGUUGCAAGCAUGCAACCUUCAUGAUCCGGCAGCGCUUCGCCGUCCAGAGCUAAUCGUCGCUAGAGAAUUAGAGGGAGGAGAUUAGAACCACACUGGGCUUCUAAUUAUGAGGACAAGAGGAUUUGCCACACUCUAAUUAGUCAACUAGGACCAACUAAAGCAUGAACGAGAAGAACUAGAGGAGGCUCCAAAACUUAUGUGUUCAAUUGUGGCCAAUACCUCAAGUAUAUAUAGGUUAGAGGGGGAGAGGAGGGCUGGCAACAAAUAAGGGAAGGCCUCCUUGGGGCGCCAUCCAAAGGGGGAGUUGGACUCCUCCCCUACUAGGAUCCCCCCCACAAGGAAAGGGGGGUGGGCUCAUCCACUUGGGCCUUCCUGGCCCAAGUUGCCUUCCACCUCUUGGCCUUUUAAAAUAUAAAAUGUUCUAAAUAUUUCUAGACCAUUAUAUAAAAUGUUCUAAAUAUUAUGCAACUCUGGGAUACCGGAGGAAUACCUUGUGUGCUAUCAAUUAUCACAACAUAACUGGGUGAUCAUAAAGAUGCUCUACAGGUAUCUCCGAAGGUGUUUGUUGGGUUGGCAUACAUCCAGAUUAGGAUUUGUCACUCCGAGUUUCAGAGAGGUAUCUCCGAGCCCUGUCGGUAAUACACAUCAUAAGCUUGCAAGAAAAUGACUAACACUGGUACAACGAGGUGCUAUACAAACGGUUUUUAACCCCUUUCCGCGACGGCGUUCGGAACCGUCACCUAGUGAGUGACUUCGAUAGGGGGAUCCUUCCUACAUGACCCAGAAACCGUCGGGGAUAUGCCCUUCUGGCACACACGCUCGACAAAAUGAGGUUGUGUGCGACCGGCGAGCGACCAAAUAUGGUUAUACGUACAGUAGUGCUAAAAAUACAAUUAUACAGACGAAUUCGUUUCCGGUCGUAAGUACAUCACACACAGUCAGUCCCUGCUAAACACUUCCGUUCGUAUAUAUAUCCCACACAGUCACUCCAAGGAAAAUGAUGCACAAGGUGGCGUAACGCAAACAGUUUUUAAGAGAAUGUCGUGUGUGAUUGUUCAUUGAUUCAACAUGGUUUAUUCCUAGAAACUGUGUGCGUUGCCUGAGGUCAUCGCCCACGGUGUUUUCUCAAUAACCGUUUGCAAUAGGAAAACCCAAUUAGCAGGCUAAUUGGCCAAUUAGCAGGCUAAUUGCCCUAUUAUUAAUAAUCCAUUUAUUAAUCUAAUUGACAUUCAUAUUAAGCACAUAAUAUAUUUCAUUUCCAUAUUAAGGAAGCAGGACUUCAUAGUUGAAAUACAUCCGAGUACAAACAUGAUAUAACUUCUUGCACUCAGCUACCCCAUUACACAACUGCACCAACAUCAAGUUUCACAUGCAACAUCUAGAACCUUUCGAAAUUAGCAUCAUAGACGGUACAUAGACAAAUGCAUCUCAUCUGGAAAACUGCUGAAGUGGGAAGGCAAAUAUUGAGCCUUCAUUCAUGUUGAAGGUCUUUACAACUUUAGGCCAGUGCCUGUGGAUGAUUGACCGUCCAUCCUUCGUCCUCUUUAGGAACACUUCAAUAUUGAACCGUGGGUGUUGUAUGAAAACUUUUCUCGCCUCCUGAUCAUAGAGGUGGUUUGAGAGGUAAUCAUCAGUGAACUGCUUUGGAAAGGCCUGAAAACAAGGAUGUGCAUAAAUAUCUUCUCUAUAUUGGAAAUGGGGCAGAGGAAUAAAAAAGGCAAAAUAUAAUAGUUAGUACCAUCUUGUAAACCUCAAUGCUUCCCAUUGUUUCCCUGCAACACAUAUAAGGUAGUUAGUCAUCAAGUUAAGUAAGGGCUCACAUGCUAUCAGUAAAAUAUGUUGAUAAAAAAUAAGCACAUUGCAGAUUCAUCAGACUAAUUCAAGCCACAUGGAAAACCAUUUAUCCGUAUCAAGCAUGAUUAAGAACUAGAAAAUAUAGCACUUGUAUAUGUUUCUCUUGUAUUAAGUGCAGCCAAAUUCGAUCUAUUCCUCACAUGGUAUACAAUAACAGAAUUCAACCACAACAAUUGAACAUCACAUUACAGAAUUGAACCAAACAGUUAACUAAACACCACAACAAAUGAACCAAACGUUAACUGAGCACCACAUUGCACAAUAUAGCAUACUCCUAAUAGAAGAUUAGACAGUUAACCAAACCAAGCAUGCUUAACAACUUGGAAAUAUAGCAAUUGUAUUUGUUUCUCAUGUAUUUAGUACAACCAAAUUCGAUUUAUUUCUCACAUGGUAUAUAAUAACAGAAUGUAGCCACAACAAUUGAACAUCACAUUGCAGAAUUGAACCAAGCAGUUAACUAAACACCACAACAAAUGAACCAAACAUUAAUUGAGCACCACAUUGCACAAUAUAACAUACUCCUAAUAGAAGAUCAGACAGUUAAUCAAACCAAGCAUGCUUAACAACUUGGAAAUAUAGCAAUUGUAUUUGUUUCUCAUGUAUUUAGUACAACCAAAUUUGAUUUAUUUCUCACAUGGUAUACAAUAACAAGAAUGCACCCACAACAAUUGAACAUCACAUUAUAGAAUUGAACCAAAUAGUUAACUAAACACCACAACAAAUGAACCAAACAUUAACUGAGCACCACACUGCACAAUAUAACAUACUCCUAAUAGAAGAUCAGACAAUUAACCAAACCAAGCAUGCUUGACAACUUAGAAAAUUGCACCCUGAAGAAUUGAACAUCACAUUUGCAGAAUUGAACCAAACAGUUAACACCACAUUGCACGACAUAUAGAACAUAUACACUAGAGCAGAAGAUUGCAUGGUGAAAUUAGAUAGCACAAUUCACUAUAAUUUGUUAAGGAAAGGCAGUAGCUAGCAAACUGAACAUGGAUCCUUAUAGCGACCUAAUAAGACAAGCUACUCCUCAUUGUCGGAUAUAUUGUUGGGGAACGUAGUAAUUUCAAAAAAAUUUCCUACGCACACACAGGAUCAUGGUGAUGCAUAUCAACGAGAGGGAAGAGUGUUGUCCACGUACCCUCGUAGACCGAAAGGGGAAGCGUUAGCACAACGCGGUUGAUGUAGUCGUACGUCUUCACGAUCCGACUAUCAAGUACCGAACGUACGGCACCUCCGAGUUCAGCACAUGUUCAGCUCGAUGAUGUCCCAUGAACUCCGAUCCAGUAGAGCUUCAAGGGAGAGUUCCGUCAGCACGACGGUGUAAUGACGGUGAUGAUGAUGCUACCGACGCAGGGCUUCGCCUAAGCACCGCUACGAUAUGAUCGAGGUGGAUUAUGGUGGAGGGGGGCACCGCACACGGCUGGGAGAGAUCAACAGACCAACUUGUGUGUCUAGAGGUGCCCCCUGCCCCCGUAUAUGAAGGAGGGAGGGAGAGGCCGGCCCUAAAGGGGGCGCACCAAGUGUGGGGAGUCCUACUAGGACUCCCAAGUCCUAGUAGGAUUCCCCUUUCCUUUCCGGAGUAGGAGAGAAGGAAAGAGGGGGAGAGGGAAAAGGAAAAGGGGGCUACACCCCUUGUCCAAUUCGGACCAGAGGGGGGGGGGCUCCUUCCUUUUGGCCUCUCUCCUCUAUUCCCGUAUGGCCCAAUAAGGCCCAAUACUUCUCCCAGUGAAUUCCCAUAACUCCCCGGUGCUCCGAAAAUACCCGAAUCACUCGGAACCUUUCCGAUGUCCGAAUAUAGUCGUCCAAUAUAUCAAUCUUUACGUCUCGACCAUUUAGAGACUCCUCGUCAUGUCCCCGAUCUCAUUCGGGACUCCGAACUACCUUCGCUACAUCAAAUCACAUAAACUCAUAAUACAAUCAUCACCGAAACUUUAAGCGUGCGGACCCUACGAGUUCGAGAACUAUGUAGACAUGACCGAGACACGUCUCCGGCCAAUAACCAAUAGCGGAACCAUGAUGCUCAUAUUGGCUCCCACAUAUUCUACGAAGAUCUUUAUCGGUCAAACGCAUAACAACAUACAUUGUUCCCUUUGUCAUCGGUAUGUUACUUGCCCGAGAUUCGAUCGUCGGUAUCUCAAUACCUAGUUCAGUCUCGUUACUGGCAAGUAUCUUUACUCGUUUCGUAAUACAUCAUCCCGUAACUAACUCAUUAGUUACAAUGCUUGCAAGGCUUAUAGUGAUGUGCAUUAUUGAGUGGGCCCAGAGAUACCCCUCCGACAAUCGGAGUGACAAAUCCUAAUCUCGAAAUACGCCAACCCAACAAGUACCUUUGGAGACACCUAUAGAGCACAUUUAUAAUCACCCAGUUACGUUGUGAUGUUUGGUAGCACACAAAGUGUUUCUCUGGUAAACGGGAGUUGCAUAAUCUCAUAGUCAUAGGAACAUAUAUAAGUCAUGAAGAAAGCAAUAGCAACAUACUAAACGAUCAAGUGCUAAGCUAACGGAAUGGGUCAAGUCAAUCACAUCAUUCUCCUAAUGAUGUGAUCCCGUUAAUCAAAUGAAAACUCAUGUCCAUGGCUAGGAAACUCAACCAUCUUCGAUUAACGAGCUAGUCAAGUAGAGGCAUACUAGUGACACUCUGUUUGUCUAUGUAUUCACACAUGUAUUAUGUUUCCGGUUAAUACAAUUCUAGCAUGAAUAAUAAACAUUUAUCAUGAAAUAAGGAAAUAAAUAAUAACUUUAUUAUUGCCUCUAGGGCAUAUUUCCUUCAGUCUCCCACUUGCACUAGAGUUAAUAAUCUAGUUCACAUCGCCAUGUGAUUUAACACCAAUAGUUCACAUCACCAUGUGAUUAACACCCAUAGUUCACAUCACCAUGUGAUUAACACCCAUAGUUCACAUCGUCAUGUGACCAACACCCAAAGAGUUUACUAGAGUCAAUAAUCUAGUUCACAUCGCUAUGUGAUUAACACCCAAAGAGUACUAAGGUGUGAUCAUGUUUUGCUUGUGAGAGAAGUUUAGUCUACGGGUCUGCCACAUUCAGAUUCGUAUGUAUUUUGCAAAUUUCUAUGUCAACAAUGCUCUGCACGGAGCUACUCUAGCUAAUUGCUCCCACUUUCAAUAUGUAUCUAGAUCAAGACUUAGAGUCAUCCAUAUCGGUGUUAAAGCUUGAAUCGACGUAACUCUUUACGACGAACCUUUUCUCACCUCCAUAAUCGAGAAACAUAUCCUUAUUCCACUAAGGAUAAUUUUGACCGCUGUCCAGUGAUCUACUCCUAGAUCACUAUUGUACCCCCUUGCCAAAAACAGUGUAGGGUAUACAAUAGAUCUGGUACACAGCAUGACAUACUUUAUAGAACCUAUGGCUGAGGCAUAGGGAAUGACUUUCAUUCUCUUUCUAUCUUCUUCCAUGCUCGGGCUUUGAGUCUUACUCAAUUUCACACCUUGUAACAUGGGAAAGAACUCUUUCUUUGACUGUUCCAUUUUGAACUACUUCAUAAUCUUGUUAAGGUAUGUACUCAUUGAAAAAACUUAUCAAGCGUCUUGAUCUAUCUCUAUAGAUCUUGAUGCUCAAUAUGUAAGCAGCUUCACCGAGGUUUUUCUUUGAAAAACUCCUUUCAAACACUCCUUUAUGCUUUGCAGAAUAAUUCUACAUUAUUUCCGAUCAACAAUAUGUCACUCACAUAUACUUAUCAGAAAUGUUGUAGUGCUCCCACUCACUUUCUUGUAAAUACAGGCUUCACCGCAAGUCUGUAUAAAACUAUAUGCUUUGAUCAACUUAUCAAAGCAUAUAUUCCAACUCCGAGAUGCUUGCACGAGUCCAUAGAUGGAUCGCUGGAGCUUGCAUAUUUUGUUAGCACCUUUAGGAUUGACAAAACCUUCUGGUUGCAUCAUAUACAACUCUUUCUUUAAUAAAUCCUUUAAGGAAUGCAGUUUUGUUUAUCCAUUUGCCAGAUUUCAUAAAAUGCGGCAAUUUGCUAACAUGAUUCGGACAGACUUUAAGCAUCGAUACGAGUGAGAAAAUCUCAUCGUAGUCAACACCUUGAACUUUGUCAAAAAUCUUUUUCGACAAGUCUAGCUUUGUAGAUAGUAACACUACUAUCAGCGUCCGUCUUCCUCUUGAAGAUCCAUUUAUUUUCUAUGGCUUGCCGAUCAUUGGGCAACUCAACCAAAUUCCAUACUUUGUUCUCAUACAUGGAUCCCAUCUCAGAUUUCAUGGCCUCAAACCAUUUCACGGAAUCUGGGCUCAUCAUCGCUUCCUCAUAGUUCGUAGGUUCGUCAUGGUCAAGUAACAUGACCUCCAGAGCAGGAUUACCGUACCACUCUGGUGUGGAUCUCACUCUGGUUGUCCUACGAGGUUUAGUAGUAACUUGAUCUGAAGUUACAUGAUCAUCAUCAUUAGCUUCCUCACUAAUUGGUGUAGGAGUCACAAGAACAGAUUUAUGUGAUGAACUACUUUCCAAUAAGGGAGUAGGUAUAGUUACCUUAUCAAGUUCUACUUUCCUCCCACUCACUUCUUUCGAGAGAAACUUCUUCUCGAGAAAGGAUCCAUUUUUAGCAACGAAUAUCUUGCCUUCGGAUCUAUGAUAGAAGGUGUACCCAAUAGUAACUUUUGGGUAUCCUAUGAAGACGCAUUUUUCCGAUUUGGGUUUGAGCUUAUCAAGAUGAAACUUUUUCACAUAAGCAUCGCAACCCCAAACUUUAAGAAACGGGAACUUUGGUUUCUUGUCAAACCACAGUUCAUAUGGUGUCAUCUCAACGGAUUUAGAUGGUGCCCUAUUUAACGUGAAUGCACCUGUCUCUAAUACAUAACCCCAAAAUGAUAGUGGUAAAUUGGUAAGAGACAUCAUAGAUUGCACCAUAUCUAAUAAAGUACGGUUACGAUGUUCGGACACACCAUUACGUUGUGUUGUUCCGGGUGGCGUGAGUUGCGAAACUAUUCCGCAUUGUUUCAAAUGAAGACCAAAACUCGCAAAUCAAAUAUUCUCCUCCACGAUCAGAUCGUAGAAACUUUAUUUUCUUGUUACGAUAAUUUUUCACUUCACUCUGAAAUUCUUUGAACUUUUCAAAUGUUUCAGACUUAUGUUUCUUCAAGUAGAUAUACCCAUAUCUGCUCAAAUCAUCUGUGAAGGUCAGAAAAUAACGAUACCUGCCGCGAGCCUCAACACUCAUCGGACCUCAUACAUCAGUAUGUAUUAUAUCCAAUAAGUCAGUUGCUCACUCCAUUUCUCCGAAGAACGGAAUCUUAGUCAUCUUUACCCAUGAGGCAUGGUUCGCAAGCAUCUACUGAUUCAUUAAUCAAGUGAUUCCAAAAGCCCAUCAGCAUGGAUUUUCUUCAUGCGCUUUACACCAAUAUGACCUAAACGGCAGUGCCACAAAUAAGUUGCACUAUCAUUAUUAACUUUGCAUCUUUUGGCUUCAAUAUUAUGUAUAUAUAUAUCACUACGAUCGAGAUCCAACAAACCAUUUUAUUGGGUGUAUAACCAUAGAAGGUUUUAUUCAUGUAAAUAGAAUAACAAUUAUUCUCUAACUUAAAUGAAUAACCGUAUUGCAAUAAACAUGAUCAAAUCAUAUUCUUGCUCAACGCAAACACCAAAUAACAUUUAUUUAUGUUCAACACUAAUCCCGAAAGUAUAUGGAGUGUGCGAUGAUGAUCAUCUCAUUCUUGGGACUACUUCCAACACACAUCGUCACUUCACCCUUAACUAGUCUCUGUUCAUUCUGCAACUCCUGUUUCAAGUUACUACUCUUAGCAACUGAACUAGUAUCAAAUACCGAGGGGCUUCUAUAAACACUAGUAAAGUACACAUCAAUAACAUGUAUAUCCAAUAUACCUUUGUUCACCUCGCCAUCCUUCUUAUCCGCCAAAUACUUGGGGCAGUUUCGCUUCUAGUGACCAGUCCCUUUGCAGUAGAAGCACGCAGUCUCAGGCUUAGGUCCAGACUUGGGCUUCUUCACUUGAGCAGCAACUUUCUUGUCGUUCGUCUUGAAGUCCCCCUUCUUCCCUUUGCCCUUUUUUUGAAACUAGUGGUCUUUGUCAACCAUCAACACUUGAUGCUUUUCUUGAUUUCUAGCUUCGUCGAUUUCAGCAUCACGAAGAGCUUGGGAAUUACUUUUUUCAUCCCUUGCAUAUUAUAGUUCAUCACUAAGUUCUAGUAACUCGGUGAUAGUGACUAGAGAACUUUGUCAAUUACUCUCUUAUCUGGAAGAUUAACUCCCACUUGAUUCAAGCAAUUGUAGUACUCAGGCAAUCUGAGCACAUGCUCACUGGUUGAGCUAUUCUCCUCCAUCUUGUAGGCAAAGUACUGUCAGAGGUCUCAUACCUUUCGACAAGGGCAUGACUAUGAAAUACAAAUUUCAACUCUUGGAACAUCUUAUAUGCUCCAUGGCGUUCAAAACAUCUUUGUAUCCCCGAUUCUAAGCCGUUAAGCAUAGUGCACUAAACUAUCAAGUAGUCAUCAUAUUGAGCUAGCCAAACGUUCAUAACGUCUGCAUCUGCUCCUGCAAUAGGUAUGUCACCUAGCAGUGCAUCAAGGACAUAAUUCUUCUAUGCAGCAAUGAGGAUAAUCCUCAGAUCAUGGAUCCAAUCCGCAUCAUUGCUACUAACAUUUUUCAACAUAGUUUUUCUCUAGGAACACAAUAAACAGGGAGCAACAUCGCGAGCUAUUGAUCUACAACAUAGAUAUGCUAAUACUACCAGGACUAAGUUCAUGAUAAAUUAAAUUUCAUUUAAUCAUAUUACUUAAUAACUCUCACUUAGAUAGACAUCCCUCUAAUCAUCUAAGUGAUCACGUGAUCCAAAUCAACUAAACCAUGUCCAAUCAUCAUGUGAGAUGGAGUAGUUUUCAAUGGUGAACAUCACUAUGUUGAUCAUAUCUUCUAUAUGAUUCAUGCUUGACCUUUCGGUCUCAGUGUUCCGAGGCCAUAUCUGCAUUUGCUACUCGUCAAGUUUAACAUGAGUAUUCCGCGUGUGCAACUGUUUUGCACCCGUUGUAUUUGAACGUAGAGCCUAUCACACCCGAUCAUCACGUGGUGUCUCAGCACGAAGAACUUUCGCAACGGUGCAUACUCAGGGAGAACACUUAUACCUUGAAAUUUAGUGAGAGAUCAUCUUAUAAAGCUACCGUCAAACUAAGCAAGAUUAGAUGUAUAAAAGAUAAACAUCACAUGCAAUCAUAAUAUGUGACAUGAUAUGGCCAUCAUCAUCUUGUGCCUUUGAUCUCCAUCUCCAAAGCAUCCUCAUGAUCUCCAUCGUCAUCGGUAUGACACCAUGAUCUCCAUCAUCUUGAUCUAUAUCAAUGUGUCGUCACAUGGUCGUCUCACCAACUAUUGCUCUUGCAACUAUUGCUAUCGCAUAGCGAUAAAGUAAAGCAAUUAUUUGGCGCUUGCAUCUUAUGCAAUAGAAAGACAACCAUAAGGCUUUUGCCAGUUGCCGAUAACUUCAACAAAACAUGAUCAUCUCAUACAACAACUUAUAUCUCAUCACGUCUUGACCAUAUCACAUCACAACAUGCCCUGCAAAAACAAGUUAGACGUCCUCUACUUUGUUGUUGCAAGUUUUACGUGGCUGCUACGGGAUGAGCAAAAACCGUUCUUACCUACACAUCAAAACCACAACGAUAGUUCAUCAAGUUAGUGCUAUUUUAACCUUCUCAAGGAUCGGGCAUAGCCACACUCGGUUCAACUAAAGUUGGAGAAACUGACACCCGCCAGCCACCUGUGUGCAAAGCACGUCGGUAGAACCAGUCUCGCGUAAGCGUACGCGUAAUGUCGGUCCAGGCUGCUUCAUCCAACAAUACCGCCGAACCAAAGUAUGACAUGCUGGUAAGCAGUAUGACUUGUAUCGCCCACAACUCACUUGUGUUCUACUCGUGCAUAUAACAUCUAUGCAUAAAACCAGGCUCUGAUACCACUGUUGGGGAACGUAGUAAUUUCAAAAAAAUUCCAACGCACACACAGGAUCAUGGUGAUGCAUAGCAACGAGAGGGAAGAGUGUUGUCCACGUACCCUCGUAGACCGAAAGUGAAAGCAUUAGCACAACGCGGUUGAUGUAGUCGUACGUCUUCACGAUCCGAUCGAUCAAGUACCGAACGUAUGACACCUCCGAGUUCAGCACACGUUCAGCUCGAUGACGUCCCACAAACUCCGAUCCAGCAGAGCUUCGAGGAAGAGUUUCGUCAGCACGACGACGUGAUGACGGUGAUGAUAAUACUACUGACACAGGGCUUCGCCUAAGCACCACUACAAUAUGAUCGAGGUGGAUUAUGGUGGAGGGGGGCACUGCACACGGCUGGGAGAGAUCAACAGAUCAACUUGUGUGUCUAGAGGUGCCCCCCUUCCCCCGUAUAUAAAGGAGGAAGGGAGAGGCCGGCCCUAGAGGGGGCGCGCCAAGUGUGGGGAGUCCUACUAGGACUCCCAAGUCCUAGUAGGAUUCCCCUUUCCUUCUCGGAGUAGGAGAGAAGGAAAGAGGGGGAGAGGGAAGAGGAAAAGGGGGCUGCACCCCUUGUCCAAUUCGGACCAGAGGGGGGGGGGCGCCUCCUUCCUUUUGGCCUCUCUCCUCUAUUCCCGUAUGGUCCAAUAAGGCCCAAUACUUCUCCCGGUGCGUAACUCCCCGGUGCUCCGAGAAUACCCGAAUCACUCGGAACCUUUCCGAUGUCCGAAUAUAGUCGUCCAAUAUAUCGAUCUUUACGUCUCGACCAUUUCGAGACUCCUCAUCAUGUCCCCGAUCUCAUCCGGGACUCCGAACUACCUUAGGUACAUCAAAUCGCAUAAACUCAUGAUACAUUCGUCACCGAAACUUUAAGCAUGCGGACCCUAUGGGUUCGAGAACUAUGUAGACAUGACCAAGACACGUCUCCGGCCAAUAACCAAUAGCGGAACCUGGAUGCUCAUAUUGGCUCCCACAUAUUCUACGAAGAUCUUUAUCGGUCAAACCGCAUAACAACAUACAUUGUUCCCUUUGUCAUCGGUAUGUUACUUGCCCGAGAUUCGAUCAUCGGUAUCUCAAUACCUAGUUCAAUUUCGUUACUGGCAAGUCUCUUUACUCGUUCCGUAAUACAUCACCCCGUAACUAACUCAUUAGUUACAAUGCUUGCAAGGCUUAUAGUGAUGUGCAUUACCGAGUGGGCCCAGAGAUACCUCUCCGACAAUCGGAGUGACAAAUCCUAAUCUCGAAAUACGCCAACUCAACAAGUACCUUUGGAAACACCUGUAGAGCACCUUUAUAAUCACCUAGUUACGUUGUGACGUUUGGUAGCACACAAAGUGUUCCUCCGGUAAACGGGAGUUGCAUAAUCUCAUAGUCAUAGGAACAUGUAUAAGUCAUGAAGAAAGCAAUAGCAACAUACUAAACGAUCAAGUGCUAAGCUAACGGAAUGGGUCAAGUCAAUCACAUCAUUCUCUUAAUGAUGUGAUCCCGUUAAUCAAAUGACAACUCAUCCAUGGCUAGGAAACUCAACCAUCUUCGAUUAACGAGCUAGUCAAGUAGAGGCAUACUAGUGACACUGUUUGUCUAUGUAUUCACACAUGUAUUAUGUUUCCGGUUAAUACAAUUCUAGCAUGAAUAAUAAACAUUUAUCAUGAAAUAAGGAAAUAAAUAAUAACUUUAUUAUUGCCUCUAGGGUAUAUUUCCUUCAGAUAUCGAUGAUGAUUGGCUCCUUGGACAUGGAAGAGGGCGAGGCCUCCGCAUCGUGGGUGCCCUCGUUGUAGUGGUGAGUUGCCUGAGCCGCUCCAGGCACCAACCUGCUGGCUCUCGAGAUUAGGUAAGCACGUGAACGCUGAGAAAACACCUCGUAGUCUUGGUCGAAGGCACCGACAGUGGCCUCGAGAAAACGCCUCGAACUGUCAUUUAAAGCAGCCAACCGCGUCACGGUGUUAGCGCGCGAGGUGUCGACGGUGGCCUCGAUGGCGAGGUGCUCCUCCAAGAUCCGGGGGUCAGCAUAAAUGGCAGCCAUCGCGACCUCAUCCGCACAUGCGGCCGCGAUUUGCUUCUCCGCUACCAAUUGCUCCUUGAGAUACUGGCUAUACUGCGUGACUAUGGCUUAGGGCGGCGCUUAUUUGGUGGAGGGGUCGGUGAUUUGGGUGGAAGGUGUCACGCUUGCACUGGUGGUCGGGGCAUGUGGGAUGUGGAAGGAGGAGCAGGAUGGGCGUCGGGUGUGGAUACCUGCCUGGAUAGACGAGGCCGAGCAGUGUGAAGGAGGGUCGCCGGCAUGGAGGCAACGUUGCAAGCAAGGAGUGAAGGUUUCAACUUGGAAAGGAAGGCGGAAACAGGGGAAAUGUGGCUUUUGGUAAGGGGGAGGGGCGGGGAGGUAGAUAUUUCCGCGAAAGACGAACAUUUGGAAUCGCUUCAGUGAAAAAACUGGCGUGCAAAGUGUCAUCAGACAUGGUCCCUUAUUCGGAGCGGGUUGUGGACUAUAGCCGUCGCACCUUCUCGUGUAAGCCGUAUGCGUACUAUACUUCGAUGGUGCUCCAAGAUAUUUUGUGCCGCAUCUCACAUGGUUGGUUAUAAUAAACUAUGUGGGAUCUACUUGAUUUUUCUUCUUGAUUUGAAUUACAUAAUGGGGUCAUAGCGGCAAUAGACGGUGUUUGAAUUGCUAGACCUUUUAUCUACAGUGAACAUGCAACUAUAUGUGUGUCGUAAAAGAAUUGGAAUUAUUCAGGGUUCGUUAGGACAUUUUAUACAUAAAUUGGUUUUCUAGCCAUUUCAGGUGCACAAUUCAAAAUUAAACUACAUCCACAUGCUCCGGUGCACCAACAUGGUUGUAAAAUAAUAUAUGUGUCCAUGGGUUUAUGCUUAUCUCCCAUGCAAGAAAUGGGGAUGUAUUUCGAACACCACGACACUGUGGCUCUCCGGCAAACGUCGACGUACUUGCUUUUGUAAUUCUAGUAAAUCCAAAAAUCGUCCGAAACUCAUGAAAUUUGCAUGCUAUCAUGGAGCGGCAUCAACAUGCCAUGGUAAAAAUUUUGUCCCAUUUGGGGCAGGUUUGGGUAUAAGCUUCUCAUAAACCAGAGCUUCUCACAACAAGUGUGAUGGUUUCGGUAGGGAACGUUUCACCUUUCUGGAUGAAACGAUAUCCAUUGCCUCUUCUCGAUUUCAAUUUUUUUCCUAGUGUCAACAUAGAACAACAGGAAUGUUGUGUCAAUUUAUGGAAUUUUUGGGGUUCGCUUGGACAUUUUUAUACAUUAACUGAGUUUUCUAUGCAUUCAUGUGCAUAAUUCAAAUUUGAACUACAUGCACAUGCUCUAAUGCAUAUAAAUUAGUUAAAAAUUCAAAUAUGUGUCCUUGGUUGCAUGCUUAGGCCCCAUGCAAGAAAUGAGAAUGAAUGUCAAACACCCUGCCACCGUCACUCGGCCACAAACAUUGAGAUACCUGGUUUUUAAAUUCAAGUAAAUCCAAAGCUCGUCUGAAAUUCAUGAAACUUGGCAUGCUAUCAUGGAGCGGCAUCAACAUGUCGUGGUAAAUUUUUUGUCCCAUUUGGGGCAGGUUUGGGGAUAUGCUUCUCACAAAUCAGAGCUUCUCACAACAAGCCUGAUCGUUUCGGUAGGGAAUGUUUCACCUUUCUGGAUGAAACGAUAUCCGUUGCCUCUUCUCGAUUUCAAUUCUUUUCCUAGUAUCAAAAUAGAACAACAGGAGUGUUGUGUUAAUUUUUCGGAUUUUUCGGGGUUCGCUUGGACAUUUGUUGUAACACCCUCGAUGCGGCUAUAUCUCCCACGUGUCGAAGCACGACUUAGAGGCAUAACCACAUUGAAAGCAGUGUCGCAAGUGAGGUAAUCUUCACACAACCCAUGUAAUACAUAAGGGACAGAGAUACAUAGUUGGCUUACAAUCGCCACUUCACACAAUUACAUGAAUAAAGCAUUACAACAUCCAAAUACAAUCAAGUCCGACUACGGAACCAAAAUAAAAGAAGAACCCCAAAUGCGACAAGGUCCCCGAUCGACCCCAACUGGGCUCCACUACUGAUCAACUAGAACGAAACAACACAAAGGACAAGAUCUUCAUCGAGCUCCUCCUUGAGCUUGGUUGCGUCAUCUGCACGGUUCAACGGCACCUGCAAGCUGGUUUUGGAAGUAUCUGUGAGCCACGGGGACUCAGCAAUCUCGCACCCUCAUGAUCAAGACUAUUUAAGCUUAUGGGUAAGAUAAAGGUAUGAGGUGGAGCUGCAGCAAGCGACUAGCAUAUAUGGUGGCUAACAUACGCAAAAGAGAGCGAGAAGAGAAGGCAAAGCACGGUCGAGAAACUAUGAUCAAGAAGUGAUCCUAGAACAACCUACGUCAAGCAUAACUCCAACACCGUGUUCACUUCCCGGACCCCGCCGAGAAGAGACCAUCACGGUUACACACGCGGUUGAUGCAUUUUAAUUAAGGUCAACUUCAUGUUUUCUACAACCGGACGUUAACAAAUUCCCAUCUGCCCAUAACCGCGGGCACGGCUUUCGAAAGUUCAAAUCCCUGCAGGGGUGUCCCAACUUAGCCCAUGACAAGCUCUCACGGUCAACGAAGGAUAUUCCUUCUAGCGGGAAGACCCGAUCAGACUCGGAAUCCCGGUUACAAGACAUUUCGACAAGGUAAAACUAAACCAGCAACACCGCCCGAAUGUGCCGACAAAUCCCGAUAGGAGCUGCACAUAUCUCGUUCUCAGGGCACACUCAGAUGAGACUAGCUACGAGUAAAACCAAACCUCAAGUUGCCCCGAGGUGGCCCCGCAGGCAGCUUAGUUUGGACCAACACUCAGAGGAGCACUGGCCCGGGGGGGGGGGGUUAAAAUAAAGAUGACCCUUGGGCACGCGACCCCCAAGGGAAAAGAAAAGGCUAGGUGGCGAAUGGUAAAACCAAUGUUGGGCAUUGAUGGAAGAGUUUUAUUCAAGGCGAACUGUCAAGGGGUUCCCAUUAUUACCCAACCGCGUAAGGAACGCAAAAUCCGGGAACAUAACACCGAUAUGACGGAAACUAGGGCGGCAAGAGUGGAACAAAACACCAGGCAUAAGGCCGAGCCUUCCACCCUUUACCAAGUAUAUAGAUGCAUUAAUUAAAUAAGAUAUAUAGUGAUAUCCCAACAAGUAAACAUGUUCCAACAAGGAACAACAUCUCCAUGAUCCAACAAGGAACAAACUUCAAUCUUCACCUGCAACUAACAACGUUAUAAAAGGGGCUGAGCAAAGCGGUAACAUAGCCAAACAACGGUUUGCUAGGACGAGGUGGGUUAGAGGCUCGGUUUUAACAAUAUGGGAGGCAUGAUAAACAAGUGGUAGGUAUCGCAGCAUAGGCAUAGCAAAAGAGCGAGCAACUAGCAAGCAAAGAUAGAAGUGAUUUCGAGGGUAUGGUCAUCUUGCCUGAAAUCCCACAAGGAAGAAGUACGAGUCCAUGAAGAAGAUAUACGGAGUAUACGAAUGGGUCCUCACAAACGUGACGUUACCGGAACCAACCCGAAGAAGCAAACACCAGAAAGAAGCACACAACAUAGUAAACAACCAACACAUGAACAUGGUAUGAUAUGCGGGAUGCGGUAUGUGAUGCAUAUGAAAGAUUUGCAAGGGAAUGAAUGAACCUGGCCUCAACAUGGAAAUCCAAGUGUUCCACUGGAAAGGUAAGGUGAUUUCGGUUGAAAUCGAUAUAAAGAUCACCGGAAUCGGAGGCACAGUUUGGAAAUGACAAGCAAAACAAAUAUGGCACCGGUCUGUGAUAAACAACAAGUAGCCAUCUAAAUGCAACAAGUUAAACAUGCUACAACACCCAAACAUGGCAACAAAAUACAUGGCAGGGAUCCAUUCAUGAAGCUUAACAAAAGAUGAACACUGAGCUACGGCCAAUUCAUCAAUUAACAGGUUCAAACAAGCAUGGCAAAAGUGCAAUUGGUAAACAGAUUUCAGACUUAGUGAAAUUAACACUUGUCUGGAAUUUCAUAUCAGAUAGCACAAUUUGGAGCAAGAAAACUAUAUGCUACAGGAACUUAACAUGGCAAAGUAAGGCAUGGCAUGGAGCUACUCAAAGAGCUUAACAAAAGUCCCUUAGUGACCUUGAGCCAAAAGGGAUCAGAAAAUACAAUUGCAAGCAUGUGAACAUGGCAAAAAACAUAAUCAGGUCACAGACUUAGUGAAAAACUGGAGCAUGCAAAUCAGAUAUCAAGUAGGCAUGUUUACGAGCUCGACGCACUCACUACAGAGCAUGUCAUGACAAUAUAAGCAUACACCCAUCAAUAAUACACAUUAUACAAGCUAUAAAUGGCAAGAACAACAACAUAGCAUGCACGGAUCAACAACAACAUCCUCAGCAAAAUUGCUAACAAAUAAACAAUCUGCCAGGAAUUACGAAAUAGCAAAAGUAUAGCUUGAUUGACUCAAGCUAGGGUGCUCCAUAAUUGCAAACAAAAACAUGGAUGGAUAGAGAACCACAAGAUUAACAAAUCAUCCUUACUGAUCAUCCUCAAAAGAGGUACGGAUCACUAGGAAACAACAUGAACAUAUGGCAUAUUGAUAAAAACAGAUCAAGGACUUAGUAAAAUUCUAAGUCCCUGAAAUCAGCAUUAACGAAUGCACCACUUUGCAAGAUUGUGAUAGUCACCACACACAUCACAAAAAUACAUGGAUAGCACCUCUGGAAAGAUGGCAAAGCAUCUAACAAAACUCAUGUAGAGCUCAGGGGCAUAUCAUGCACAUAUUAAUCAUGGCAAAAAUGACAAAUAGCUAUUUGGUGCAGCAGAUCUAACAAUUAACUCAAAUAGCACUCUUCCAACAGCAUUUCGGGCAUCAAGAUGAGCUCAAAUGAAAAUGAUGCAAUGAGAUGAAAUGAUGUACUCUCUGAGGCGAACAUUUUGAUAUGCUACACACGCAAAACGGAGCUACGGAUGCAAAGUUACGACAUGAAGAACAUGGCCAUUUGAAACUGGAAAUCUCGAGGACUUGGUGAAAUAUAGACCUCUCCCGGAUCUAGGGUUGGCACGGAAUCCGAGGCGCAGAUGGAGUUUGCCGGAGCACGACCGGAGACAGCGACGACGGUGGCUGGAAGACGCGGGAUCUCGCCGGAGAUGGCGGAUCCGGGCCGGAUCUCGCCGGAUCCGACCGGAUCCCGGCGCGGGGCGGCGUAGGGAGGACGGCGGCGACCGUGGCGCGGGGUAGGCGCUGGCGGAGUACGAGGCGGCGGCGCACUCCGGCGAGGUCGUCGCCGGGCGGCGCACGGCGGCCGGCACUGAAGGCGAGCGGCGACGCGGGGCUCGGGUGCCCGCGGGUGGCGGCGGCGGCGUCCCGGGCCGGGAGGGCCCGAUCCGGGCCCCGGCGGCGGCGGAAGCGCGGCGACACUUGGCGCGAGGCCAUUGGCGCGGACGGCGGCGGCGGGUUUGUCCGGCCGGGUCCGGACAUGUCCGGCGCGGCGCGAGGGAAAUUUAGGGUUAGAGGAAGGGGAAGACCCGGGAUUUUUCGUGGGGGAUCUUUAUAUAGGGGUAGAAGGAGCUAGGAGAGUCCAAAUGAGGUGCGGUUUUCGGCCACGCGAUCGUGAUCGAACGACCGAGAUGAUGGAGGAGGUUUAGGUGGGUUUUGGGCCACUUUGGAAGGGUGUUGGGCUGCAACACACACGAGGCCUUUUCGGUCCCUCGGUUAACCGUUGGAGUAUCAAACGAAGUCUAAAUGGCACGAAACUUGACAGGCGGUCUACCGGUAGUAAACCAAGGCCGCUUGGCAAGUCUCGGUCCAAUCCGGAAAUGUUUAACCCCCACACACGAAAUGAAGGAAGAAAGGACCACCGGAGGAGAUAGGAGCGCCGGAAUGCAAAACGGACAACGGGGAAAAUGCUCGGAUGCAUGAGAUGAACAUGUAUGCAAAUGAAAUGCACAUGAUGACAUGAUAUGCAAUGCAUGACACGCAAGCAAUGACAAGGCAACAACAACAAAUAACUGGAGGACACCUGGCACAUCGGUCUCGGGGCGUUACAUUUGUAUACAUUAAUUGAGUUUUCUAUGCAUUCAUGUGCAUAAUUCAAAUUUGAACUAUAGGCACAUGCUCUAAUGCAUAUAAAUUGGUUGAAAAUUCAAAUCUGUGUCCUUGGUUGCAUGCUUAGGUCCCAUGCAAGAAAUGAGAAUGAAUGUCAAACACCCUGUCACCGUCACUCGGCCGCAAACAUUGAGAUACCUGGUUUCUAAAUUCUAGUAAAUUGAAAACUCGUCUGAAAUUCAUGAAACUUGGCAUGCUAUCAUGGAGCGGCAUCAACAUGCCGUGGUAAAAUUAUUGACCCAUUUGGGGCAGGUUUGGGGAUAUGCUUCUCACAAACCAGAGCUUCUCACAACGAGCCCGAUGGUUUCGGUAGGGAACGUCCCACCUUUGGGCACAAAACGAUAUCCAUUGCCUCUUAUUGCUUUCAAAAAAUUUCUCAUGUCAACAUAGAACAACAAGAGUGUUGUGUCAAUUUUUGGGAUUUUUGGGGGUUCGUUUGGACAUUUUUAUGCAUUAAUUGAGUUUUCAAUGCAUUUAUGUGCAUAAUUCAAAUUUGAACUACAUGCACAUGCUCUAAUGCAUAUAAAUUGGUUGAAAAUUCAAAUCCGUGUCCUUGGUUGCAUGCUUAGGCCCCAUGCAAGAAAUGGGAAUGAAUGUCAAACACCCUGCCACCGUCACUCGUCCGUAAACAUUGAGAUACCUGGUUUUUAAAUUCUAGUAAAUCCAAAACUCGUCUGAAAUUCAUGAAACUUGGCAUGCUAUCAUGGAGCGGCAUCAACAUGAUGUGGUAAAGUUUUUGUCCCAUUUGGGGCAGGUUUGGGUAUAUGCUUCCCACAAACUAGAGCUUCUCACAACAAGCAUGAUGGUUCUGGUAGGGAACGUCCCACCUUUGGGGACGAAACGAUGUCCAUUGCCUCUUAUUGCUUUCAAAAAAUUUCUCGUGUCAACAUAGAACAACAGGAGUGUUGUGUCAAUUUUUGGGAUUUUUGGUAUUCGUUUGGACAUUUUUAUGCAUUAAUUGAGUUUUCAAUGCAUUUAUGUGCAUAAUUCAAAUUUGAACUACAUGCACAUGCUCCAGUGCAUAUAAAUUGGUUAAAAAUCAAAUAUUUGUCCUUGGGUGCAUGCUUAGGUCCCAUGCAAGAAAUGGGAAUGACUUUCAAACACCAGGGCAUUGUUGAUUGCUGGCAAAACGUUGAGAUACUUUGUUUUUAAAUUUUAGGAAAUCCAAAACUCAUCUGAAAUUCAUGAAACUUGGCAUGCUAUCAUGAAAUGCCACCUGACAUGCUAUGGUAUUUUUCGUGUCCAUUUUGAGAGAAGGCGAAAUAGAAUAACAGCCAACAAAGGCAUUUUGAAAAAAUAGCUGCCACUUUAAUAUCUCAAACGUUUGUAUAAUUCAAACCGUGUGUGUUCUGUUAAUCAUUCACGUGACGCCACGUGUCCUAGUUUUAAUGGCUAUAGGUUUUAAUGGCUCUUGAUCGCAAACGUUUUAGAUAGAACACCCGUCUGCAAAGUGAGAACAAGAUUUGUGCAUCUCUUCAACGCAAACGGUUCUUUUGGAUGACCCGUGUGCAACCACUUACAAACAAUUUGGUAAGAUUUGCAUAUGUCAUAUUGGGUAUGUUGCCAUUUGUCAAACUGGAAAGAAUGACAUUUGUUGAUCUAGUAACACUGCCAUUUGUCAACCUUGUAACAGUGCAAUUUGUCAAAAUAUGAAGCUAAAAAUCACUAGCAGUAUCUAAUUUUUGCAACUAAAAUUCAGUAAUUAAUCAUAGAUGUGAUACGUCUCCAACGUAUCUAUAAUUUUUGAUUGCUCCAUGCUAUAUUAUCUACUAUUUUGGACAUUAUUGGGCUUUAUUAUCCACUUUUAUAUUAUUUUUGGGACUAACUUAUUAACCGGAGGCCCAACCCAGAAUUACUGUUUUUUUUGCCUAUUUUAGGGUUUCGAAGAAAAGGAAUAUCAAACGGAGUCCAAACGGAAUGAAACCUUCGGGAACGUGAUUUUCUCACCGAAUACAACUCAGGAGACUUGGACCCUACGUCAAGGCACGUAACAGGAGGCCACGAGGUAGGGGGGCACGCCCUACCCUACCAGGCGCGCCCCCACCCUCGUGGUCCCCUGUUGCUCCACCGACGUACUUCUUCCUCCUAUAUAUACCCACGUACCCCCAAACAAUCAGAUAUGGAGCCAAAACCCUAAUUCUAACGCCGUAACUUUCAGUAUCCACGAGAUCCCAUCUUCGGGCCUGUUCCGGAGCUCCGCCGGAGGGGGCAUCGAUCACGGAGGGCUUCUACAUCAACAACAUAGCCUCUCCGAUGAAGUGUGAGUAGUUUACUUCAGACCUACGGGUCCAUAGUUAGUAGCUAGAUGGCUUCUUCUCUCUUUUUGGAUCUCAAUACAAUAUUCUCCCCCUCUCUUGUGGAGAUCUAUUCGAUGUAAUCUUCUUUUUGCGGUGUGUUUGUUGAGAACGAUGAAUUGUGGGUUUAUGAUCAAGUCUAUCUAUGAAUAAUAUUUGAAUCUUCUCUGAAUUCUUUUAUGUAUGACUGGUUAUCUUUGCAAGUCUCUUCGAAAUAUCAGUUUGGUUUGGCCUACUAGAUUGAUUUUUCUUGCAAUGGGAGAAGUGCUUAGCUUUGGGUUCAAUCUUGCUGUGUCCUUUCCUAGUGACAGUAAGGGCAGCAAGGCACAUAUUGUAUUGUUGCCAUCGAGGAUAACAAGAUGGGGUUUUCUUCAUAUUGCAUGAGUCUAUCCCUCUACAUCAUGUCAUCUUGCUUAAGGCGUUACUCUGUUUUAACUUAAUACUCUAGAUGCAUGCUGGAUAGCGGUCGAUGAGUGGAGUAAUAGUAGUAGAUGCAGGCAGGAGUCGGUCUACUUGUCUCGGUCGUGAUGCCUAUAUACAUGAUCAUACCUAGAUAUUCUCAUAACUAUGCUCAAUUCUGUCAAUUGCUCAACAGUAAUUUGUUCACCCACCGUAGAAUACUCAUGCUCUCGAGAGAAGCCACUAGUGAAACCUAUGGCCCCCGGGUCUAUCUUUAUCAUAUCAAUCUCCUACUACUUAGUUAUUUACUUUUCUAUUUACUUUGCUUUUAUUUUACUUUGCAUCUUUAUCAUAAAAAUACCAAAAAUAUUAUCUUAUCAUAUCUAUCAGUUCUCACUCUCGUAAGUGGCCCUAUAGGGAUUGACAACCCCUAUUUGUGUUGGUUGCGAGGAUUUAUUUGUUUUGUGCAGGUACGAGGGACUCGCGUGUAGCUUCCUACUGGAUUGAUACCUUGGUUCUCAAAAACUGAGGGAAAUACUUACGCUACUUUGCUGCAUCAUCCCUUCCUCUUCGGGGAAAACCAACGCAGUGCUAAAAGAGGUAGCAAGAAGGAUUUCCGGCGCCGUUGCCGGGGAGGUCUACGCAAAAGUCAACAUACCAAGUACCCAUCACAUACCCUUAUCUCCCGCAUUACAUUAUUUGCUAUUUGCCUCUCAUUUUCCUCUCCCCCCAAUUCACCCUUGCCAUUUUAUUCGCCCUCUCUCUCUCUAUCCUCCCUCUCUUUCUCUAUUUGCCCCUUUUUGUCCGCUUGCUUUUUGUUUGCUUGUGUGUUAGUUUGCUUGCUUGUCACGAUAGCUCAAGAUAAUACUAAAUUGUGUGACUUCACCAAUACCAACAACAAUGAUUUUAUUAGCACUCCGAUUGCUCCUCUUACCGAUGCUGAAUCUUGUGAAAUUAAUACUUCUUUGCUGAAUCUUGUCAUGAAAGAUCCGUUCUCCAGCCUUCCUAGUAAAGAUGCCGCUACCCAUCUUAAUAGCUUCGUUGAUUUGUGUGACAUGCAAAAGAAGAAAGAUGUGGAUAAUGAUAUUGUUAAAUUGAAGUUAUUUCCUUUUUGUCUUAGAGAUCAUGCUAAAGCUUGGUUUUCGUCUUUGCCUAAAAAUAGUAUUGAUUCAUGGAACAAGUGCAAAGAUGCUUUUAUCUCUAAGUAUUUUCCUCCCGCUAAGAUCAUCUCUCUUAGAAACCAUAUUAUGAACUUUAAGCAACUUGAUCAUGAACAUGUCGCACAAGCUUGGGAGACAAUGAAAUUAAUGACACGUAACUGCCCUACUCAUGGUUUAAAUUUGUGGAUGAUUGUUCAGAAUUUUUAUGCCCGAUUGAAUUUUGCUUCUAGAAAUCUUUUAGAUUUGGCUGCGGGAGGCACUUUUAUGGAAAUCACUUUAGGAGAAGCUACUAAACUCCUAGAUAAUAUUAUGGUUAAUUAUUCUCAAUGGCAUACUGAAAGAUCUACUAAUAAAAAGGUGCAUGCGAUAGAAGAAAUUAAUGUUUUGAGUGGAAAGAUGGAUGAACUUAUGAAAUUAUUUGCUAAUAAGAGUGUUUGUUCUGAUCCUAAUGAUAUGCCUUGUCUACUUUGAUUGAGAAUAAUAAUGAAUCUAUGGAUGUGAAUUUUGUUGGUAGGAACAAUUUUGGUAACAAUGCGUAUAGAGGAAAUUUCAACCCUAGGCCUUAUCCUAGUAAUUCCUCUAAUAAUUAUGGUAAUUCCUACAACAAUUCUUAUGUAAAUUACAAUAAGAUGCCCGCUGAUUUUGAAUCUAAUAUUAAAGAAUUUAUUACUUCGCAAAAGAAUUUUAAUGCUGUGAUUGAAAAAUUGCUUAAGAUUGAUGAUUUGGCUAGGAACGUUGAUAGAAUUGCUCUUGAUGUUGAUUCUUUGAAACUUAGUUCUAUUCCACCUAAGCAUUAUAUCAAUGAGUCUCUCAAAGCCAUGAGAAUUUCCAUUGGUGAGUGCAAAGAAAGAACCGCUAGGAUGCGUGCUAAGAAAGAUGCCUUUAUAAAAGCGUGUUCUUCUAGUUCCUAUGAAAAUAAUGAUGAAGAUUUAAAAGUUAUUGAUGUGUCCCCUAUUAAAUCUUUGUUUUGCAAUAUGAAUCUUGAUAAUGAUGGGACUGAAUAUGAUCCACCUUUACCUAGAAGGCAUUCCAAGAAUUCUGAAUCUUUUGAUCUUGAUGCUAAAUUUGAUAAAAGUGGGAUUGAAGAAAUUAAAACCCUAGAUGUUGCUAAACCAACUAUUAUGGAUUUCAAGGAAUUUAACUAUGAAAUUUCUCUUUGAUUGAUUGUAUUUCCUUGUUGCAACCCAUGCUAACUUCUCCUCAUGCUUAUAGUCAAAAUAAAGCGUUUACUAAACAUAUCGUUGAUGCCUUGAUGCAAUCUUAUGAAGAAAAACUUGAAUUGGAAGUUUCUAUCCCUAGAAAACUUUAUAAUGAGUGGGAACCAACUAUUAAAAUUAAAAUUAAAGAUCAUGAAUGCUAUGCUUUAUGUGAUUUGGGUGCUAGUGUUUCCACGAUUCCAAAGACUUUGUGUGAUUUGUUAGGUUUCCGUGAUUUUGAUGAUUGCUCUCUAAACUUGCACCUUGCGGAUUCCACCAUUAAGAAACCUAUGGGAAGAAUUAAUGAUGUUCUUAUUGUUGCAAAUAGGAAUUAUGUGCCCGUAGAUUUUAUCGUUCUUGACAUAGAUUGCAAUCCUUCAUGUCCUAUUAUUUUUGGUAGACCUUUCCUUAGAACGAUUGGUGCAAUUAUUGAUAUGAAGGAAGGAAAUAUUAGAUUCCAAUUUCCGUUAGGCAUGGAACACUUUCCUAGAAAGAAAAUUAAAUUACCUUAUGAAUCUAUUGUGAGAGCCACUUAUGGAUUGCCUACCAAAGAUGGCAAUACCUAGAUCUAUUCUUGCUUGUUAUGCCUAGCUAGGGGCGUUAAACGAUAGCGCUUGUUGGGAGGCAACCCAAUUUUAUUUUUGUUCCUUGCUUUUUGCUCCUGCUUAGUAAUAAAUAAAUUAUUUAGCCUCUGUUUUGGUUGUGUUUUUGGUGUUUAAUUAGUGUUUGUGUCAAGUAGAACCGUUGGGAAGACUUGGGGAAAGUCUUGUUGAACUUGCUGUAAAAAACAGAAACUUUAGCGCCCACGAGAACUGCUGUAAUUUUUAUUUGGAAAGUGCUAUUUAGUUAUUUUUUUGAAGAUGAUUAAUAGAUAAAUUCCUCAUGUCCAGAAAUUUAUUUUAGAUUUUUGGGGUUCCAGAUCUUGCGCUAGCUACAGAUUACUACAGACUGUUCUGUUUUUGACAGAUUCUGUUUUGCGUGUGUUGUUUGCUUAUUUUGAUGAAUCUAUGGCUAGUAAAUUAGUUUAUAAACCAUAAAGAAGUUGUAAUAAAGUAGGUAUAACACCCAUAUAAAUAAAUAAUGAGUUCAUUACAGUACCUUGAAGUGGUCUUUUGUUUUCUUUCGCUAACGGAGCUCACGAGUUUUCUACUUUAAGUUUUGUGUUGUGAAGUUUUCAAGUUUUGGGUAAAGAUUUGAUGGAUUAUGGAACAAGGAGUGGAAAGAGACUAAGCUUGGGGAUGCCCAUGGCACCCCCAAGAUAAUCUAAGGACACCUAAAAGCCAAAGCUUGGGGAUUCCCCGAAAGGCAUCCCCUCUUUCGUCUACUUCUAUCGGUAACUUUACUUGGAGCUAUAUUUUUAUUUACCACAUGAUAUGUGUUUUACUUGGAGCGUCUUGUAUGAUUUGAGCCUUUGCUUGUUAGUUUACCACAAUCAUCCUUGCUGUACACACCUUUUGAGAGAGCCAUACAUGAUUUGGAAUUUGUUAGAAAACUCUAUGUGCUUCGCUUAUAUCUUUUGUGUUAUAUAAUUUUGCUCUAGUGCUUCACUUAUAUCUUUUAGAGCAGGGUGGUGGAUUUGUUUUAUAGACACUAUUGAUCUCUCAUGCUUCACCUAGAUUAUUUUGAGAGUCUUAAUAGCAUGGUAAUUUGCUUAAAAUCCUAAUAUGCUUGGUAUGCAAGAUUAAUAAUAAAAAAUUCUCUUAUAAGUGUGUUGAAUACUAUGAUAAGUUUGAUACUUGAUAAUUGUUUUGAGACAUGGAGAUGGUGAUAUUAAAGUCAUGCUAGUUGAGUAGUUGUGAAUUUGAGAAAUACUUGUGUUGAAGCUUGUGAUUCCCGUAGCAUGCACGUAUGGUGAACCGUUAUGUGAUGAAGUCGGAGCAUGAUUUAUUUAUUGAUCGUCUUCCUUAUGAGUGGCGGUCGGGGACGAGCGAUGGUCUUUUCCUACCAAUCUAUCCCCAUAGGAGCAUGCGCGUAAUACUUUGCUUUGAUAUCUUGUUUUUGCAAUAAGUAUAUGAGUUCUUUAUGACUAAUUUUGAGUCCAUGGAUUAUACGCACUCUCACCCUUCCACCUUUGCUAGCCUCUCUAAUACCGCGCACCUUUCGCCGGUAUCAAACACCCACCAUAUACCUUCCUCAAAACAGCCACCAUACCUACCUAUUAUGGCAUUUCCAUAGCCAUUCCGAGAUAUAUUGCCAUGCAACUUUCCAUCGUUCCAUUUAUUAUGGCACACUCCAUCAUUUUCAUAUUGCUUAGCAUGAUCAUGUAGUUGACAUAGUAUUUGUGGCAAGGCCACCGUUCAUAAUUCUUUCAUACUUGCCACUCAUGCAUCAUUGCAUAUCCCGGUACACCGUCGGAGGCAUUCAUAUAGAGUCAUAUCUUGUUCUAAGUAUCGAGUUGUAAGCAAGUUGGAUGCACACCCACUUAGUUCUUUUUCAGCUUUCAUAUACUUAUAGCUCUAGUGCAUCCGUUGCAUGGCAAUCCCUACUCACUCACAUUGAUAUCUAUUGAUGGGCAUCUCCAUAGCCCAUUGAUACGCCUAGUUGAUGUGAGACUAUCUUCUCCCUUUUUGUCUUCUCACAACCACCACUCUAUUCCACCUAUAGUUCUAUAUCCAUGGCUCACGCUCAUGUAUUGCGUGAAGAUUGAAAAAGUUUUGAGAAUGUAAAAAGUAUGAAACAAUUGCUUGGCUUGUCAUUGGGGUUGUGCAUGAUUUAAAUAUUUUGUGUGGUGAAGAUAGAGCAUAGCUAGACUAUAUGAUUUUGUAGGGAUAACUUUCUUUAGCCAUGUUAUUUUGAGAAGACAUAAUUGCUUUGUUAGUAUGCUUGAAGUAUUAUCACUUUCUAUGUCAUUAUGAACUUUUCUCUUGAAUCUUUCGGAUCUGAAUAUUCAUACCACAAUUAAGAAGAAUUACAUUAAAAUUAUGCCAAAUAGCACUCCGCAUCAAAAAUUCUGUUUUUAUCAUUUACCUACUCGAGGACGAGCAGAAAUUAAGCUUGGGGAUGCUUGAUACGUCUCCAACGUAUCUAUAAUUUUUGAUUGCUCCAUGCUAUAUUAUCUACUGUUUUGGACAUUAUUGGGCUUUAUUAUCCACUUUUAUAUUAUUUUUGGGACUAACUUAUUAACCGGAGGCCCAGCCCAGAAUUGCUGUUUUUUGCCUAUUUUAGGGUUUCGAAGAAAAGGAAUAUCAAACGGAGUCCAAACGGAAUGAAACCUUCGGGAACGUGAUUUUCUCACCGAAUACAACUCAGGAGACUUGGACCCUACGUCAAGGCAUGUAACAGGAGGCCACGAGGUAGGGGGGCGCGCCCUACCCUACCAAGCGCGCCCCCACCCUCGUGGGCCCCCUGUUGCUCCACCGACGUACUUCUUCCUCCUAUAUAUACCCACGUACCCCCCAAACAAUCAGAUACGGAGCCAAAACCCUAAUUCCACCGCCGUAACUUUCUGUAUCCACGAGAUCCCAUCUUCGGGCCUGUUCCGGAGCUCCGCCAGAGGGGGCAUCGAUCACGGAGGGCUUCUACAUCAACAACAUAGCCUCUCCGAUGAAGUGUGAGUAGUUUACUUCAGACCUACGGGUCCAUAGUUAGUAGCUAGAUGGCUUCUUCUCUCUUUUUGGAUCUCAAUACAAUAUUCUCCCCCUCUCUUGUGAAGAUCUAUUCGAUGUAAUCUUCUUUUUGCGGUGUGUUUGUUGAGAUCGAUGAAUUGUGGGUUUAUGAUCAAGUCUAUCUAUGAAUAAUAUUUGAAUCUUCUCUGAAUUCUUUUAUGUAUGACUGGUUAUCUUUGCAAGUCUCUUCGAAAUAUCAGUUUGGUUUGGCCUACUAGAUUGAUCUUUCUUGCAAUGGGAGAAGUGCUUAGCUUUGGGUUCAAUCUUGCGGUGUCCUUUCCCGGUGACAGUAAGGGCAGCAAGGCACAUAUUGUAUUGUUGCCGUCGAGGAUAACAAGAUGGGGUUUUCUUCAUAUUGCAUGAGUCUAUCCCUCUACAUCAUGUCAUCUUGCUUAAGGCGUUACUCUAUUUUAAUUUAAUACUCUAGAUGCAUGCUGGAUAGCGGUCGAUGAGUGGAGUAAUAGUAGUAGAUGCAGGCAGGAGUCGGUCUACUUGUCUCGGACGUGAUGCCUAUAUACAUGAUCAUACCUAGAUAUUCUCAUAACUAUGCUCAAUUCUAUCAAUUGCUCAACAGUAAUUUGUUCACCCACCGUAGAAUACUCAUGCUCUCGAGAGAAGCCACUAGUGAAACUAUGGCCCCCGGGUCUAUCUUUAUCAUAUCAAUCUCCUACUACUUAGUUAUUUACUUUGCUAUUUACUUUGCUUUUAUUUUACUUUGCAUCUUUAUCAUAAAAAUACCAAAAAUAUUAUCUUAUCAUAUCUAUCAGUUCUCACUCUUGUAAGUGGCCCUAUAGGGAUUGACAACCCCUAUUUGCGUUGGUUGCAAGGAUUUAUUUGUUUUGUGCAGGUACGAGGGACUCGCGCGUAGCUUCCUACUGGAUUGAUACCUUGGUUCUCAAAAACUGAGGGAAAUACUUACGCUACUUUGCUACAUCAUCCCUUCCUCUUCGGGGAAAACCAAUGCAGUGCUAAAAGAGGUAGCAAUAUGGAGGCGAGGAGGCAUGUUCAGUCAGGCGUGCAGCGAGCUGUGCAGUACUAUUCAAUUUGACAGCGGGCGGCGCAGUUCCUGAUACAGAUUUAAUGCAGAUGAGGGAGAGCGUAGCAGUUCCCGAAAUGUUGAACGGCAAAUGAUGCAUCCUGCUUCAAUUAGCAUUGUGAAUGCAUGAGGGAAGUAAUGGGAGGGGGACUAAGAAAAGAGGCAGCACGAUGUGAAUGCAACACAGUUUGCACUCAUAUAAAGGCGCCCCUCCAUUCCAAUGCAUCUACCACAUCGUACGCACCUAAGCAUUUUCCUAAACACCUACACUAAGCCCAAAAGUGCUCACUCCAGACCCAUGGCGGUAAUGCGCGUGAGUGGCCAGCGGCUGUGCCAAAUGGUCCACGACGCCGGCCUGCGGCUUGGCACUGAGGAUCGUCUCCAGACGGUGUUGGCGACCAGCUGGUGGAUGGCCGCCGUCGACGCUAGAUAGGACUAGUAGUUGGACCAGAUGAUCGUUGCCACCACCAACAAGUUCACCAUCGUCAAGAAGCUUGCAGACGACAUCGUCGUACUCCUCCAGCCCGCGCGGCUGAGCUCCUCAUUGCGUGCCACCCUAAUCGGCCUCGAUGGUCGGAACCUCUUCCAAGCACGGGUGGCCCUGCGACUGCUUGCUGACGCCACGAAGAAUGUCCACCUGGAGGUCGCGCUCGCUGCAAGGCACCUCGCCCUGCAAGAAUUCGUCGACCUACACAUCCACUUGUACGAGCAAAUCGUGUACAUAUGUAUCUACAAGGCCAGUGAGGACGCUAUGACGUUGGCCUUCUUCAACCGGCUGGAAGCCUUGGGUGCCUUUACUGAGAAGCACCUUGACCUCGCCACAAAAUUCUUCGCUCCUUAGCUGCCGGUCAGUGGCCUGGCGCACUGAGUUGAGGAGGACGAGGUUGUACGUUGAUUGAUGCAUCUUUCUUCUUGCCUCCUGUAACCACCACUAUGAUCGCAUCAUCGUGGCCUUAAUUCUUAUUGUGCUAUUGCAUUCUUGUUCCAGUCAAUACAGACAUGUGCGAUCCCUUUGCUUAACUAUAUGCAUCACUGUAACUAGUACUCCAUCCGUCAAUUUAUAAGUUGUGCUACCGGUGUUUGGGGCCGGCGCACGACACAAUAAGCACACCCACGACGACACAUACAGAGAGGACAUCCAGUGGUUCCAAUGGCGAUCCCCGUGGCUCCAAUCGCGCUCCCAGUGGCCGAUGACGACAAUGGCAGGCAGUUCACCAUGCAUCACGUAGUGGACACCCAUGUGAGGGGGAAGGCCCUCUCGGUGGUGUACACGAACGAUCCGGUCUCGGUGGAGAGCUCCAUCCAAACUAUGGAGCAGUUCCUUGCCGAGGACAAGUACCAAGUGGUCGGCUUCGACCCGAGUACACCAUCGGUCAUGCCGGGCACAUUCACGGGGGACGUGGCAUUGACCAUUGGGCGACAAUAGUCGAUCAUCCGGGUGCCCGAUAAAGGAUGCAAAGAGGGAUCCAACAACAGCAAGGACCAGCUUCCCUACCGAUAGCUCAUCUAAUAGAACUCCCAAGUUAACUGUGUUGAGGCUUGAGUAGUCAUCAGAUGGGUGACCGGAUGGGAAGUGGCCUCGAUGUUAAAUUAACUGAUGUGAUGGGUCACUGUAAACAUUUAAUUGCGUUGAAUGUAUAUAGUGCUCCAUCAUAUUAGUUGAAUUAACCUUGAGGUCCUUGUUUUGUAAUUUUUGACAUUUUUUAUUUUUUGUACACAUGUUGAUUGGCUUGAAGAAGGUCUAUCUCGUUACUUUUUGAUAAUUUUUGUUUUUUAACACAUGUUAAUUGGCUUGAAUGAAGGUCUAUCCCGUUACUUUACGACAUGUUUCCAAAACAUGGACCUCGAGGUUAAUUCAACUAAUAGGAUGGAGCACUAUAUACAUUCAACGCAAUUAAAUGUUUUCCAAAAAAACUGAUAUGAUUUUUGUGAAACUUAUAAGUCAUGUAUGUCAAAUUAACCUCUAUGUACUUGUUCCUGAAUUAACCUCUGGGCCUUUUUGCUGCGUAUCACACACAUCUUGUUAAGUUGAACCAUUUAUGUUCUCUUCCCUAAUCGAAAACAGUUCAUUCGACUGAACCGUAUGUUGUAUAUCACACACACCUUGAUCUGCCUGACCAUUUCUGUUGCUUUCCCUAAUAGCAAACAAUUCAUAGGAGCGAAUUGUAUGCUGUAUAUCGCACACACAUUGAUAUGGCUGCCCGUUUCUGUUGUUCUAUCUAAUCGCAAACACUUCGUCUGGAUCAACCGUAUGCCCUGCUUCGCACACGCAACUAAAAUCUGAACCGUGUUUGAUGCAUCUGUCAUCGCAAACGUUUUGCACCUUUUUGACAGUUUUUACACCACCGUUUGCGAUUAUUGCAUCGCACACAGUUUUGUUGAAGGGUCUCUGAUCGUAGUGUCACAUUAGCAGUAUCUUGCAGUAGUGAUGCUACUAUCCUUUUACCACACUUGUGCUUCAAAGUAGCACCAUGAUCUUCAUGAUAGAGUCUCAUAUGUCAUCACUUUCAUAUACUAGUGGGAAUUUUUCAUUAUAGAACUUGGCUUGUACUCCCUCCGUUCCCAAAUAUAAGUCUUUUUAGAUAUUCCAACAAGUGACUACAUACGGAGCAAAAUGAAUAAAUCUACACUCUAAAAUAUGUCUACAUACAUACGUAUGUUGUAGUCCAUUUGAAAUGUCUAAAAGGACUUAUAUUUAGGAAUGGAGGGAGUAUAUUCCAAUGAUGGGCUUCCUCAAAUUUCCCUAGGUCUUCGUGAGCAAGCAAGUUGGAUGCACACCCAUUUAGUUUCCUUUUGGAGAUUUCAUAAACUUAUAGCACUAGUGCAUCCGUUGCAUGGCAAUCCCUACUCACUCACAUUGAUAUCUAUUGACGGGCAUCUCCAUAGCCCGUUGGUAUGCCUAGUUAAUGUGAGACUAUCUCCUUCUUUUUGUCUUCUCCACAACCAUCGUCUGUACCACCUAUAGUGCUAUGUCCAUGGCUCACGCUCAUGUAUUGCGUGAAAGUUGAAAAGGUUUGAGAACAUCAAAAGUAUGAAAUGAUUGUUUGGCUUGUCAUCGGGGUUGUGCAUGAUCUAAAUAUUUUGUGUGAUGAAGAUGGAGUAUAGCUAGACUAUAUGAUUUUGUAGAGAUAAGCUUUGUUUGGCCAUGUUAUUUUGAGAAGACAUAAUUAUCUUGUUAGUAUGCUUGAAGUAUUAUUGUUUUUAUGUCAAUAUUAAACUUUUGUUUUGAAUCAUACGGAUCUGAACAUUCAUGCCACAAUAAAAAAAUUACAUGGAAUGAUAUGUUAGGUAGCAUUCCACAUCAAAAAUUCUAUUUUUAUCAUUUACCUACUCGAGCACGAGCAGGAAUUAAGCUUGGGGAUGCUUGAUACGUCUCCAACGUAUCUAUAAUUUUUUAUUGUUCCAUGCUAUUAUAUUAUCUUUUCUAGAUGUUUUAUAUGCAUUAAUAUGUUAUUUUAUAUUAUUUUUGAGACUAACCUAUUAACCUAGACCGGAAUGCCAGUUUACGUUUUUCCUUGUUUUAGAGUUUCAUAGAAAAGGAAUACCAAACGGAGUCCAAAAACAGAAUGAAACUUUCGUGAUGAUUUUUCUUGGACCAGAAGACAUCCAGAGGACUUGGAGUACACGUCAGGGAAGCCACAAGGUGGCCACAAGGUCGGGAGGUGCGCCCAGGGGGGUAGGGCGCGCACCCCACCCUUGUGGGCCCCUCGUGACUCCACCGACCUAUUUUUUCCGCCUAUAUAUUUUCAAAUAUCCCAAAACCUAUGGAGAGAUCCAUGAAAACACUUUUGCACCACCGCAACCUUCUGUACCCGUGAGAUCCCAUUUAGGGGCCUUUUCCGGCGUCCUGCCAGAGGGGGAUUUGAUCACGGAGGGCUUCUACAUCAACACCAUUGCCUCUCCGAUGAAGCGUGAGUAGUUUACCACAGACUUAAGGGUCCAUAGCUAGUAGCUAGAUGGCUUCUUCUCUCUCUUUGAUUCUCAAUACCAUGUUCUCCCAGAUGUUCUUAGAGAUCUAUCGGAUGUAAUACUCUUUUGCGGUGUGUUUGCCGAGAUCCGAUGAAUUGUGGAUUUAUGAUCAGCUUAUCUAUGAAUAUUAUUUGAAUCUUCUCUGAAUUCUUAUAUGCAUGAUUUGAUAUCUUUGCAAGUCUCUUCGAACUAUCAAUUUGGUUUGGCCAACUAGAUUGGUUUUUCUUGCAAUGGGAGAAGUGCUUAGCUUUGGGUUCAAUCUUGCGGUGCUCGAUCCUAGUGACAGAAGGGGAACCGACAUGUAUUGUAUUGUAUUGUUGCCAUCAAGGAUAACAAGAUGGGGUUUUCAUCAAAUUUCUUGAGUCUAUCCUGCUACAUCGUGUCAUCUUACUUAAUGCGUUACUCUGUUCUAUGAACUUAAUACUCUAGAUGCAGGCAGGAGUCGAUUGAUGUGUGGAGUAAUAGUAGUAGAUGCAGGCAGGAGUCGGUCUACUUGAUACGGACGUGAUGCCUAUAUUCAUGAUCAUUGCCUUAGAUAUUGCUACGUCUUGAGCUUGCAUUGGUUUUCCUCGAAGAGGAAUGGAUGAUGCAGCAGAGCAGCGUAAGUAUUUCCCUCAGUUUUUGAGAACCAAGGUAUCAAUCCAGUAGGAGGCCACGCGCAAGUCCCUCGUACCUACACAACACAAAGAGCUCAACGCAACCAAUGCGAUUAGGGGUUGUCAAUCCCUUCACGAUCACUUACAGAAGUGAGAUCCGAUAGAUAAUAUUUUUGGUAUUUUUGAUAUAAAGAUGAAAAGUGAAAAGUAAAAGGCAAAGUAAAAACAAAACAAGAUUAAAGUGAUGGAGAUUGAUAUGAUGAGAAUAGACCCAGGGGCCAUAGGUUUCACUAGUGGCUUCUCUCAAGAGGAUAAGUUUUCUACGGUGGGUGAACAAAUUAAUGUUGAGCAAUUGACAGAAUUGAGCAUAGUUAUGAGAAUAUCUAGGCAUGAUCAUGUAUAUAGGCAUCACGUCCCUGACAAGUAGAUCGAAACGAUUCUGCAUCUACUACUAUUACUCCACUCAUCGACCGCUAUCCAGCAUGCAUCUAGAGUAUUAAGUUAAAACAGAGUAACGCUUUAAGCAAGAUGACAUGAUGUAGAGAGAUAAAUUCAUGCAAUUUGAAAUAAACCCCAUCUUGUUAUCCUCGAUGGCAACGAUACAAUACGUGUCUUGCUGCCCCUUCUGUCACUGGGAAAGAACACCGCAAGAUCGAACCCAAAGCUAAGCACUUCUCCCAUGGCAAGAACUACCAAUCUAGUUGGCCAAACCAAACGGAUAAUUCGAAGAGACUUGCAAAGAUAACCAAUCAUACAUAAAAGAAUUCAGAGAAGAUUCAAAUAUUGUUCAUAGAUAGACUUGAUCAUAAACCCACAAUUCAUCGGUCUCAACAAACACACCGCAAAAGAAGAAGAUUACAUCGAAUAGAUCUCCACAAGAGAGGGGGAGAACAUUGUAUUGAGAUCCAAAAAGAGAGAAGAAGCCAUCUAGCUACUAACUAUUGACCCGAAGGUCUGAGGUAAACUACUCACACUUCAUCGGAGGGGCUAUGAUGAUGUAGAAGCCCUCCGUGAUGACGGCCCUCUCCGGCGGAGCUCUGGAACAGGCCCCAAGAUGGGAUCUCGUGGAUACAGAAAGUUGCGGCGGUGGAAUUAGGUUUUUGGCUCCUGUUCUGAUCGUUUGGGGGUACGUGGGUAUACAUAGGAGGAAGGAGUACGUCUGUGGAGCACCGAGGGGCCCACGAGGCAGGGGGGCGCACCCUGUAGGGGGGGGCGCCCCUACCCUCGUGAACGCCUUCGGUACUUCUUGGAGUAGGGUCCAAGUCUCCUGGGUCUUAUCUGAGAAGAAAAUCAUGUUCCAAAAAGGAUUUUUCUGUUUGGACUCUGUUUGAUAUUCCGUUUCUUCGAAACACUGAAAUAGGCAAAAAAAACAGCAAUUCUGGGUUGGGCCUCCGGUUAAUAGGUUAGUCCCAAAAAUAAUAUAAAAGUGGAAAAUAAAGCCCAAUAUAGUUCAAAACAAUAGAUAAUAUAGCAUGGAGCAAUCAAAAAUUAUAGAUACGUUGGAGACAUAUCAGGCAUCCCCAAGCUUAAUUCCUGCUCGUCCUCGAGUAGGUAAAUGAUAAAAAGAGAAUUUUUGAUGCGGAGUGCUACUUGGCAUAAUUUCAAUGCAAAAUUUCUUAAUUGUGGUAUGGAUAUUCAGAUUAGAAAGAUUCAAGACAAAAGUUCAUAUUGACAUAAAGAAUAAUAAUACUUCAAGCAUACUAAUAAAGUAAUUAUGUCUUCUCAAAAUAACAUGGCCAAAGAAAGUUAUACCUACAAAAUCAUAUAGUCUGGCUAUGCUCUAUCUUCACCACACAAAGUAUUUAAAUUAUGCACAACCCCGAUGACAAGCCAAGCAAUUAUUUCAUACUCUAACUUUUUCAAAACUUUUUCAAUCUUCACGCAAUACAUGAGCGUGAGCCAUGGACAUAGCACUAUGUGGAAUAGAAGGGUGGUUGUGGAGAAGACAAAAAGAGGGGAAGAUAGUCUCACAUCAACUAGGCGUAUCAACGGGCUAUGGAGAUGCCCAUCAAUAGAUAUCAAUGUGAGUGAGUAGGGAUUUCCAUGCAACGGAUGCACUAGAGCUAUAAGUAUAUGAAAGCUCAUCAAAAGAAACUAAGUGGGUGUGCAUCCAACUCGCUUGCUCACAAAGACCUAGGGCAAUUUGAGGAAGCCCAUCAUUGGAAUAUACAAGCCAAGUUCUAUAAUGGAAAAUUCCCACUAGUAUAUGAAAGUGACAUAACGAGAGACUCUCUAUCAUGAAGAUCAUGGUGCUACUUUGAAGCACAAGCGUGGUAAAAGGAUAGUAACAUUGUCCCUUCUCUCUUUUUCUCUCUUUUUUAUUUGGGCCUUUUCUGUUUUUUUAUGGCCUCUUUUUUUCGUACGGAGUCUCAUCCCUACUUAUGGGGGAAUCAUAGUCUCCAUCAUCCUUUUCUCACUUGGGACAAUGCUCUAGAAAAUGAUGAUCAUCACACUUUUAUUUUUCUUACAACUCAACAAUUACAACUCGAUACUUAGAACAAAUAUGACUCUAUAUGAAUGCCUCCGGCGGUGUACCGGGAUAUGCAAUGAAUCAAGAGUGACAUGUAUGAAAGAAUUAUGAAUGGUGGCUUUUCCACAAAUACGAUGUCAAGUACAUGAUCAUGCUAGCAAUAUGACAAUGAUGGAGCGUGUCAUAAUAAACGGAACGGUGAAAAGUUGCAUGGCAAUAUAUCUCGGAAUGGCUAUGGAAAUGCCAUGAUAGGUAGGUAUGGUGGCUGUUUUGAGGAAGGUAUAUGGUGGGUGUAUGAUACCGGCGAAAGGUGUGCGGUAUUAGAGAGGCUAGCAAUGGUGGAAAGAUGGGAAAAAGUGCAUAUAAUCCAUGGACUCAACAUUAGUCAUAAAGAACUCAUAUACUUAUUGCAAAAAUCUAGAAGUUAUCAAAGCAAAGUAUUACGCGCAUGCUCCUAGGGGGAUAGAUUGGUAGGAAAAGACCAUCGCUCAUCCCUGACCGCCACUCAUAAGGAAGACAAUCAAUAAAUAAAUUAUGCUUCGACUUCAUCACAUAACGGUUCACCAUACGUGCAUGCUACGAGAAUCACAAACUUUAACACAAGUAUUCUUUAAAUUCACAACUACUAAACUAUCAUAACUCUAAUAUUAUCACCUCCAUAUCUCAAAACAAUUAUCAUGCUUCAAUCUUCUCUUAGUAUUCAACGCACUCAAAAGAAAAUUUCACAUACCUUGAACACCAAGGAUAUUUAUAUUAAGAAAAUUACCAUGCUAUUAAGACUCUUAAAAUAAUUUAAGUGAAGCAUGAGAGAUCAAUAGUUUCUUUAAAACAAACCACCACCGUGCUCUAAAAGAUCUAAGUGAAGCACAUAGAGCAAAAUUAUAACGCUCAAAAGAUAUAAGUGAAGUGCAAAGAGCAAAACUACAUAACUCAAAAGAUUUAAGUGAAGCACAUAGAGUAUUCUAUCAAAUUUCAAUUCAAGUAUGGCUCUCUCAAAAGGUGUGUACAGUAAGUAUGAUUGUAGCAUACUAACAAACAAAGACACAAAUAAUACAAGACGCUCCAAGCAAAACACAUAUCAUGUUGGUGAAUAAAAAUAUAGCUUCAAGUAAAUUACCGAUGGAAGUGGACGAAAGAGGGGAUGCCUUCCGGGGCAUCCCCAAGCUUUGACUUUUUGGUGUCCUUGGAUUAUCUUGGGGGUGCCAUGGGCAUCCCCAAGCUUCGUCUCUUGCCACUCCUUGUUCCGUAAUCCAUCAAAAGAACUCACCCAAAACUUGAAAACUUCACAACACAAAACUCAAUAGAAAUCUCGUGAGCUCCGUUAGAGAAAGAAAACAAAAGACCACUUCAAGGUACUGUAAUGAACUCAUUUUUUAUUUAUUUUGGUGUUAAACCUACUGUAUUCCAACUUCUCUAUGUAUUAUAAACUAUUUUACUAACCAUGAAUUCAUCAAAAUAAGCAAACAACACACGAAAAACAGAAUCUGUCGAAAACAGAACAGUCUGUAGUAAUCUGUAGCUAGCACAAGAUCUGGAACCCCAAAAAUUCUAAAAUAAAUUUCUGGACGUGAGGAAUUUAUCUAUUAAUCAUCUGCAAAAAGAACUAACUAAAUAGCACUCUUCAAAUAAAAAUGACAGCAGUUCUCAUGAGCGCUAAAGUUUCUGUUUUUUACAGCAAGUUCAACAAGACUUUCCUCAAGUCUUCCCAACGGUUCUACUUGGCACAAACACUAAUUAAGCACAAAAAAACAC